Molecule: long non-coding RNA, 59210 nt
Filed under: Lactuca sativa (garden lettuce)
Lineage: Eukaryota; Viridiplantae; Streptophyta; Magnoliopsida; Asterales; Asteraceae
Description: long non-coding RNA (LSAT_LNC006411)
Source: RNAcentral
AUGAAUUUGGGGGCCAACAAGUUUUCUGGUAAUGUGCCUGUCUGGAUUGGGGAAAACUUAUCAAAGUUGUAUGUUCUUAUCCUAAGAUCAAACAAAUUCUUUGGAACCAUCCCACAAAAGUUAUGUCGGUUAGCUAAUCUUCAAAUUCUAGAUCUGUCAAUGAACAAUCUCAAUGGAACCAUCCCCUCAUGUUUGAGUAAUCUUACAAGCAUGCUUCAACAAGGAGGAUUCUCACAAGAUGUGCAGCUUAAUACAACUUACAGAGCUUAUGAAUAUAAACAGGAGACAUACGUUGACCAUGCGAUGAUUGAGUGGCAAGGAGAUGAACGCGAAUUCGUUAGCAUUCUGAAAUUGUUAAAGAUCAUUGACCUGUCAAGCAACAAGUUAACAGGACAAAUCCCACAUGUAGUUACCAAUCUUUCUGACUUAGUUGCCUUGAACUUGUCAAGGAACGCUCUAUCUGGAGAGAUUCCACAGAAAAUUGGUGAGAUGAAAAAGCUUUUGACUUUGGAUUUAUCCAGAAAUAAUUUCUCAGGGGGGAUACCAUCAAGCAUGUCUCAGAUGAGUUUACUGAAUGACCUAGACUUGUCAUACAAUAACUUGUCAGGGAGAAUCCCAUCAAGCACUCAACUCCAGUCCUUUCCACCUUCAAGAUAUGUUGGAAACAGAGGACUAUGUGGACCUCCUCUUAACAAAAAGUGUCCUGGAGAUGAAGAAUCAGAAUCACCACCAAUCAUUGGUAAAAGUGAGGGUGAUGGGGAAGAAUGGGGAUGGUUUUAUAUUGGUGGGGGCAUGGGUUUUGCCACUGGAUUUUGGAUAGCAUGUGGGGCUUUACUUGUCAACCGUCGAGGGAGGCGUGCAUUUUUUCACUUUUUUGAUAGUUUCAAAGAUUGGGUUUAUGUGAAGGUGGUUGUGUUCGUUUCAAGUUUGCAAAAAGGUAGACAGAUGUAGUUUGUUAUCUAAUUCUUAUUUUUGACUUCUUAUUUUCCAGUAUACAAUGUAAUAUGGUAGUGGUUUUUAAUCCCCCAAUAUCAAUAAAUUAAGGCCACUUUUGGCGCAUUUCUGCGACUCGGUAUGUGGUAAUUAAGUGCACUUUAUUUAUGUUUAUAAAAAACGGGCUUUUAAUUAGAUGGGUGGCCAUUAGGUUUAACUAAUAAAAAACUCUUACAAACCAAGAGUCACACGACACGACAUGAUUCAUUGGCAAUAAAAAAAAAUAGAUAACAUAGUAAUGUAAGUAUGUAACACUCUAAUGAAUCGUUCUCUGCAUGCAUGUAAAUUGUAUAGAAAUUGUGUCUGUAAUUUGUAAUCUGUUUGACUGAUUGACUGACUGUAUAUGCUACAUUAUGAUUGUAAUGUGUAAAUCUGUAUGUAAGAUGCAUGCUAGUACAUUGUUAAUUUGCUACUUAAUACUUAUGCUGUUAAUGUUAUAAAUGAAAUAAUGAAUUAUGAAUCAGGUCUGUUACUCUGUAUACUCUCUCUAUAUUUCUCUCUUUCUUAAUUGUUAUGUGAUCAACUAAUCAUUGUUUUAUACUUAUGUUGUAUUGCUGUAUUGCUGAUUUGCUGUUAAUUAAGUGUUUACCUGUAAAGUCAAAAGUGUAAACUGUUAUGAACUUAUAAUUAUGAUGUAAUGCUGUUAACUGUUUGACUGUUUCAGUGUUUUGUCAGUUGUCACUGUUAUGUACUUAUGUUAUAGCGUUAUUUUAUACAAGAUUACAAAUUAAUAUGUUUUGAUAUUUUGAUGUUUUCUGAAUUCUAAUUUCUAUUUUGUUAUACAUAAUGGUUUCAACUUCAGAUGACCAAGGUAGGAGAUAUGGUGCACAAGAUCCGAGUAAUAAAAACAAUGUGUGCUCUUUUUGUGGAUAAGUUCUGAAAGGAGGAGUAUAUCGCCUCAAACAACACUUAAUUGACGGGCAUAAAGACGCAAAGAAAUGUCCAAAUUGUCCGGAGCAUGUACGAGAAGAAUGUAGGACAUUCAUGCAAAACAAGCAAUCAAUAAAGGCACAACAACAUAUGGAAGCAAGUUUUCAGAUGCAACAACUGUUGGAAAUAUUACAGCCUUAUACAGCUGUUGACUGCUAUAUUUAUAAGUUGCAUAAUGGCCAAAAUUAUCUCUGUGAUUGUCAUUGUAUUAGAUGUAUUUUUAGCUCUUAAUUCUGUAAUUAGAGUAGAUUAUCUCUUUCCUUGUUUAGGCUAUUUCUUUCAUGUAUAUAAAUUGUUGUGAUGUGAAUAAGAAAAAUACAAUCGAAAAAAACUUUUCACCCUUUGUUUCAUGGUAUCAGAGGAGGUUCAUCCUAGACAUGAUCAGAAAAUCUCUCUUUUAAUUUACUUUCCUGAGAUUUUUUUCUUUCUAACCCUAAAAUCAGAUCUAUGGCCGGAGGAAACCAAUCCAAUGUCACUAACAGAUUUUGCUUUAUCCACAACAAAACCCUCUCUCCUUUCUACUCCUGACCUUGGGCAUACUCUGCAAAUCACCCAACACACACUAAACAGUCAAAGAAUGGUAUCAAUCUGUUUUGUUAGUCAUCCCAGGGGAAGUAGGCUAUGUUACCGGUGAAACUUGUCAACCGAAACAGGAUGAUGCAAGUUAUCAACAAUGGGAAGCAAAAACCCCCCAUUAUCAUGGCAUUACUUAUCAACUCCAUGGAGACAUGAAUUGGCAGGACAUUUUUAUUCUACAACAACGCCCAUGAAAUCUGGAAAUGUGUCCAAGCGAUGUAUUCAUAUCUUGAAAACACAUCUCAGUGUUUUGAGAUUCGCUCGACUCUAAGAUCCACCCGCCAAGGAACAAUGACAGUUACUUAUUAGUCGUGUAUAUUCUAUUUAUUAUAUAUGUAUAGAGUGUAGGUACCUAAGUGUAAAAUAUUGUGUUUAGGUCAAUCUCAUGGCCACUAUUUAUAUCUCACGGCUGGAUCAAUAAAGAACAGGGAAAAUAUUUUGCGUUAUAUUGUGUGUUAUAUUAUGGUAUCAGAGCUCUCUUUCUGAAAACCUAACCCUACUAGCCGUCGUUCCUUCACAAUCUCUUAUCUCCUUUUUUUUUUUUUUCUGACUACUCUCGAGAUGGAAAGAGCUCAGUACACUUCAUGGGCUGAGUUGUUUAGAAUCCAUUGUCGUGCAUUCCAGGUCAUUGAUCAUAUUGAACCCAAAGCUACAAUCAUCUCCUCCUCCACCACUAAUAAAGUCGGGGUUGAUAAACCAGCAGAUCCCAAACCAAUGGAUCCUGAUCUAUGGAAUCGAUUAGAUGCCAUUGUCAUCCAAUGGAUCUACAGUACUAUCUCGAAUGAUCUCCUCCAAACCAUUCUAAAACCGAAAGCUAGUGCAGCGCAGGCAUGGGCAGCCCUCGAGAGUGUUUUUCAAGACAACCAGAAUGAGCGUGCUCUCUACUUGGAACACAAACUAGUCACCAUUAAGCUUGUAAAUUUCUCAAAUUGCUUUGCUUACUAUCAGACGUUGAAGAUGAUCUCUGAUCAACUUUCUAAUGUUGGCGCCCCUAUCACUAAUCAACGACUCAUCUUACAGCUCAUUGUUGGUCUUACGGAUGCAUACGAAGGGAUCGCCAUGAUGAUCCAGCAAAUCAAGCCUCUUCCGGAUUUCUAUGAAGCACGCUCUCGUCUCAUCUUGGAAGAAACAAGUAAAGCCAAUCAUGCAACCCAGUCUGCUGUUGCAGAUGCAUUUGCCCUCAAUGUUUAGACUCAACACACUUGUCUCCCCUUACCCUACAAACGACUACAACAACGUCACUAGGGGACGUGGACGUAGACGAGGCACUAGAGGUCGUGAUCGUGGCAGAUGAGGUGGUAACUACACAGGUGGCAACCGUGGACAGCACCAACAAUUUCACCAAUAGACUCAUACUCCCUUCUGGCAGAAUCAACCUCAGUGGGCUCCUCAACCAUCCUGGAAUGCAUUGCCUCCCUCAUGGUUUCCUGCUCAACACACACCACCUUGUCCCUAUCCUACCACUCCGCCACGCUCAUCACAACCAUAACCCCCCAAUGCUCUAGGUUUACUUGACCCUUGACCACCACAACCACAAACUCAUAAUACCUCAGUUAAAUCCUACACUCCUACUGAUUUGGAACAAGCUUUUCACACAAUGAGUCUCAUCUCUCCAGACCCGAAUUGGUACCUUGACACUGGCGCAACAUCUCACAUGACAAACAAUUGAGGUACUCUCUCCUCAUAUAAUAAGAGUAAUUUCCGGAAUAUCAUUGUAGGUAAUGGCACACAACUUCCAAUCGAAGGCACCGAUAAUCAUAUUAUUACUCCACCCUAUCCCCCUUAAUCAAGUCCUUUAUGUUCCUAAUCUGAUUAAAAACUUACUUUCUGUCCGUCGUCUCACAACUUAUAAUAAUGUUUCAAUCAAAUUUGACCCAAAUGGUUUUCUUGUAAAGGACUUGCAGACCCGGAUGCCUCUUCUCAGCUGCAAUAGCUCCGGAGAUCUUUAUCCACUUACACUUAAGUCAACCCCUCCACUCAAGUCUCCUUCCACUUUUGCUGCAAUAAACCGAGAUCUCUGGCAUUUUCGUUUGGAACACCUGGGCGUUAAUGUGUUUCAUUGUUUGAAUAAUUCCUUGUUAUUUCCUUUUUGUCAUAAAAACUCUAUUUUUUUUAUUCGUGUGUUAUGGGCAAAAAUAUUAAAUUACCUUUCCAUUUAUCUCCUACUGUUACUGUUUCUCCCUUUGACAUUAUACAUAGUGAUGUUUGGACCUCACCGGUUUUGUAACAUCCCAAAUUUCGAGGCCAAAAAUUUUGUUUUUAAUUAAGUAACUCAUAAAACAGUUUACCAAAACAUUGUCAAUAUUACAUCAACUUAUAAAAACCAUAAUGUCGUGUCUCAAAACCAUAUCAUCAGAAGUAAUGAAAAUCAGAGUACAAUCCCAGAAACUCAAUGCGGAAACCAUGUGUGUAUGUGUGUGAUGCGCUGCUACACCGUCGGAACCUUCCCCUUAGACGAAGAGGUACCUGAAACCAAAACUAAAAACCGUAAGCACGAAGCUUAGUGAGUUCCCCCAUCAUACCCAUACCAAAUAAUACAUAAUCCUCAGUAUCUUUCAACCGGUAACUGUCAGGCAUAAUCGGGAGCUGGACUCCCCCUCAGUAUCUUUCAACCGGUAACUGGGAACUACCCUUCUAUUCGGUAUCUUUCAACCGGUAACUGGGAACUACCCUCUCAUUCGGUAUCUUUCAACCGGUAACUGGGAACUACCCUCUCAUUCGGUAUCUUUCAACCGGUAACUGGGAACUAACCUCCCCUUCGAUAUCUUUCAACCGAUAACCGGGGACUAUUUCACCCCUACUACUGCUAACACAUAAUAAGCAUAGUAAGCAUAUCAAUCAUAAUCAUAUUAAUCACAGUAAGCAUAUCACAUAUCAAAUCCCAGAUAAUUAUCACAAAGACAAUCAUCUAACCAAUACUCUUACUUGUGGGUCGGCAUUGUGACCGUAGACCCACCCCUACUAGGAGGAGACUCACCUCAAAUUCGUAAGAUCAAACUGUUUCUCUAAGUAUACAUGGAUUUUUUUAUCCUAAGAUCAAGCUGUUGGGUUUUAAGCACUAUAACACUCCUAUAGUGCACAUGCAACCCUAAAUGAUUUGGAUCUAUGUUUUCUCUAAUUAUACAUGCAUUUUCUUUUUCCAAAGCAUUCACCCUAGCUAGCACACAAUUGAAGCUAUAUAAUAUAAAACUUAAUUUGGAUGCUUACCUCUUGAGUAAGGUAGAGUUCUUGACCUUUGGAAGCUUGAGUACCUCAAGUGUGAUGCCUCUAAUGGUUCACAAACACCAAGUGCAAGAGGAGGCUUUAGAGAAUAGGUUAGUUGGCACAAAAUCAACUUCACUCUCUUAGAAUGUAUGGCAUGACCCAUUUUGGCUCUAGGGAGGGGUUUAUAUAGUGUGACAAACAUUAGGGUUACAUCCAUGAAAACCCUAAUGCUCCAUGACUUUUCACAUUCUCAUGCUCCAUUGUUUAAACCUCCAUGGACUAUCCAUGGUUCAUCUCAUUGGUUUAGCCCAUUCUAAAUAACUAUGGAUCAUUGGCCCACACUAUAAGAAUCAUUGAUUUGCAAUCAAGCCCCAUAUAUUUAAUUAGUCUCAUUUGAUCACAAAAUUAAUUUCAAAUUAAUUCUUGAUCAAUACUAAUUAAAUAAUAUGUUUUCUCAAUUAAUAUAUUAUACUUACAAUAUAUUAAUAAAUCACAAAUAACCUUAUUCUUAAAAGUUCACCCUAUCAAAUUGCAUUGAUGAAGGCAACCCAAAAGGACCAUGCUACUAUUGGGUCAAGUACAUCCCAGUUAUAGUUAUGGUCUUAGACACUAAAUCCAACACAAACAACUUCUUUGGAACCAUCCCUUUACAGUUAUGUCAGUUAUCUAAUCUUCAAACUCUAGACCUGUCAAUGAACAAUCUCCAUGGAAGCAUCCCCUCAUGUUUGAGUAAUCUUACCAGCAUGGUUCAACAAGGAGGAUUCUCACAAGAUGUGCAGUUUAUUACAACUUACAAAGCUUAUGAAUUUAAACAGGAGACAUACGUUGACCAUGCGAUGAUUGAGUGGUAAGGAGAUGAAUGUGAAUUCGUUAGCAUUCUGAAAUUGAUGAAGAUCAUUGACCUUUCAAGCAACAAGUUAACAUGACAAAUCCCAUAUGGAAUUACCAAUCUUUCUGACUUAGUUGCCUUGAACUUGUCAAGGAACGCACUAUCUGGAGAGAUUCCCCAGAAAAUUGGUGAGAUGAAAAAGCUUUUGACUUUGGAUUUAUCCACAAAUAAUUUCUCUGGGCAGAUACCAUCAAGCAUGUCUCAGAUGAGUUUACUUAAUGAACUAGACUUGUCAUACAAUAACUUGUCAUGGAGAAUCCCAUCAGCACUCAACUCCAAUCCUUUCUGUGACAUCCCCAAAAUCACGGCCAGAAAAGACCGGUUUCAUUUAUGCUUUUAAAAUAUUUUCAAAGUAAAUCCAUUGAUUUAAAAGAGUUGCAGAAUUUGUUCCCAAAACAAAACAUGAUAAAAUAAAGCUUAUCAAACCAUUUCAUCAAGAGAUACAUUUUCAUUAUAUGACAAUAUUCGAGAAGUCAUGUUCUGAUAAACAGACCAAAAGCAUAAACAACAAAAGAUAGACCAUACAACAGUUACAUAUGACAACUGGUCUAAUAUCAAAAGAUCUUGAUAAGUCAUCCAACUUAUGCCCUCGCACCACUACCUGUAAUACAACAAAACUAAGUGGGUCAGGCUUGGAAGCCUGGUGAGCAUAUAGGGUUUCCAAGCCACAAUAAAUAAUUAUAUUUAAUUCACCAACCAACAACAACAACCUGAUUACCCAUUCCCGUUAUCCUCACUUUACGUCCCUAAAGCAACAUCUAUUACAAGGGACCUAAUCUAGGAUUUUCAUUGGGAUGGACUCUACUGCAAGGGGUUUCCUCAGCAAUAAAAGUCCUAAAGGCAACCAUGAGGGGGAUAGAGUACACUGGUGAACACAUCGUUCACAACACCUACAGGUUAUGAGUCUGCUAGCGUUCCACAGGACUGUCUAGAAGGAGUCUGUGGUCGUUAUCCAUACUCCGCUGGAUAACUAGAAUAACAACAACAACAUCAAGGCCUCUCAUCUGUUUAUCACACAUCAACUAUCUACCCAUGUUCUACCCAACAUUUUAGUAGAUAAAAUAUACAUUUUUAUACAUGUUGGAUAUAGUGUCUAAGUCCAUAACUUUAUUUGGUAUGUACUUGACCCGACCCGGCAUGGUCCAUUUGGGUUGCAUGGCAUUGCAAUACUUGGAUAGACUAAAUGAGAGAAUAUGGCACUUAUGAUUAUUAAUAUAUUAUAAGUUCUAAUAUAUUAAUAAUAGUAUUAUUUAAUUAGUAUUUGAUCAAGUAUUAAUCUAGUAUUAAUUUGGUGAUCAAAGUGAGACUAAUUAAAUAUAUAAGGGUUGAUUAUGACAAUCAUCAAUUCUUUUAUGGUGGAUUAAUGAUCCAUGGUUUAUGGGUUAUGGAUGUAACCAUUUGGAGCUCCAUGGAUAGUCCAUGGGAGUUACAAACCCAUGGGUCAUGAGAAAUGAAGAGUCAUGACAAUUAUGGGUCUUCAUGAUGAAACUCUAAUUGUGACACCACUAUAAAAGGGACCCUUUGGCUAACAAAAUCAGACCUAGUGUUACUAGAGAGGGCAUAACCGAUUUUUGAGUGUAAGAAUUAUUCUCUCAAGUUAUUCCAAGUUUUGUGGUGCUGUGUGAAGCAUUUGAGGUACAACAUUUGGGGUGCUAGGCUCACAUAGUCUUGAAGGAAUCCAAGCAACAACAAGGUAUGUAUUUCUACUAGUUUUUAUGUUUUAUGUAAUCCCCAUGCCAUGCUAGUUAGGAAAUAACCUUGAAAAAGAAAUUUGCAUGUAUAUAGAGAAAACAUAGAUUCAAGGUUAUUAGGGUUGCAUGUACACUUAGGAAGUGUUAGAAUGCUCAAAACCCAUCANNNNNNNNNNNNNNNNNNNNNNNNNNNNNNNNNNNNNNNNNNNNNNNNNNNNNNNNNNNNNNNNNNNNNNNNNNNNNNNNNNNNNNNNNNNNNNNNNNNNNNNNNNNNNNNNNNNNNNNNNNNNNNNNNNNNNNNNNNNNNNNNNNNNNNNNNNNNNNNNNNNNNNNNNNNNNNNNNNNNNNNNNNNNNNNNNNNNNNNNNNNNNNNNNNNNNNNNNNNNNNNNNNNNNNNNNNNNNNNNNNNNNNNNNNNNNNNNNNNNNNNNNNNNNNNNNNNNNNNNNNNNNNNNNNNNNNNNNNNNNNNNNNNNNNNNNNNNNNNNNNNNNNNNNNNNNNNNNNNNNNNNNNNNNNNNNNNNNNNNNNNNNNNNNNNNNNNNNNNNNNNNNNNNNNNNNNNNNNNNNNNNNNNNNNNNNNNNNNNNNNNNNNNNNNNNNNNNNNNNNNNNNNNNNNNNNNNNNNNNNNNNNNNNNNNNNNNNNNNNNNNNNNNNNNNNNNNNNNNNNNNNNNNNNNNNNNNNNNNNNNNNNNNNNNNNNNNNNNNNNNNNNNNNNNNNNNNNNNNNNNNNNNNNNNNNNNNNNNNNNNNNNNNNNNNNNNNNNNNNNNNNNNNNNNNNNNNNNNNNNNNNNNNNNNNNNNNNNNNNNNNNNNNNNNNNNNNNNNNNNNNNNNNNNNNNNNNNNNNNNNNNNNNNNNNNNNNNNNNNNNNNNNNNNNNNNNNNNNNNNNNNNNNNNNNNNNNNNNNNNNNNNNNNNNNNNNNNNNNNNNNNNNNNNNNNNNNNNNNNNNNNNNNNNNNNNNNNNNNNNNNNNNNNNNNNNNNNNNNNNNNNNNNNNNNNNNNNNNNNNNNNNNNNNNNNNNNNNNNNNNNNNNNNNNNNNNNNNNNNNNNNNNNNNNNNNNNNNNNNNNNNNNNNNNNNNNNNNNNNNNNNNNNNNNNNNNNNNNNNNNNNNNNNNNNNNNNNNNNNNNNNNNNNNNNNNNNNNNNNNNNNNNNNNNNNNNNNNNNNNNNNNNNNNNNNNNNNNNNNNNNNNNNNNNNNNNNNNNNNNNNNNNNNNNNNNNNNNNNNNNNNNNNNNNNNNNNNNNNNNNNNNNNNNNNNNNNNNNNNNNNNNNNNNNNNNNNNNNNNNNNNNNNNNNNNNNNNNNNNNNNNNNNNNNNNNNNNNNNNNNNNNNNNNNNNNNNNNNNNNNNNNNNNNNNNNNNNNNNNNNNNNNNNNNNNNNNNNNNNNNNNNNNNNNNNNNNNNNNNNNNNNNNNNNNNNNNNNNNNNNNNNNNNNNNNNNNNNNNNNNNNNNNNNNNNNNNNNNNNNNNNNNNNNNNNNNNNNNNNNNNNNNNNNNNNNNNNNNNNNNNNNNNNNNNNNNNNNNNNNNNNNNNNNNNNNNNNNNNNNNNNNNNNNNNNNNNNNNNNNNNNNNNNNNNNNNNNNNNNNNNNNNNNNNNNNNNNNNNNNNNNNNNNNNNNNNNNNNNNNNNNNNNNNNNNNNNNNNNNNNNNNNNNNNNNNNNNNNNNNNNNNNNNNNNNNNNNNNNNNNNNNNNNNNNNNNNNNNNNNNNNNNNNNNNNNNNNNNNNNNNNNNNNNNNNNNNNNNNNNNNNNNNNNNNNNNNNNNNNNNNNNNNNNNNNNNNNNNNNNNNNNNNNNNNNNNNNNNNNNNNNNNNNNNNNNNNNNNNNNNNNNNNNNNNNNNNNNNNNNNNNNNNNNNNNNNNNNNNNNNNNNNNNNNNNNNNNNNNNNNNNNNNNNNNNNNNNNNNNNNNNNNNNNNNNNNNNNNNNNNNNNNNNNNNNNNNNNNNNNNNNNNNNNNNNNNNNNNNNNNNNNNNNNNNNNNNNNNNNNNNNNNNNNNNNNNNNNNNNNNNNNNNNNNNNNNNNNNNNNNNNNNNNNNNNNNNNNNNNNNNNNNNNNNNNNNNNNNNNNNNNNNNNNNNNNNNNNNNNNNNNNNNNNNNNNNNNNNNNNNNNNNNNNNNNNNNNNNNNNNNNNNNNNNNNNNNNNNNNNNNNNNNNNNNNNNNNNNNNNNNNNNNNNNNNNNNNNNNNNNNNNNNNNNNNNNNNNNNNNNNNNNNNNNNNNNNNNNNNNNNNNNNNNNNNNNNNNNNNNNNNNNNNNNNNNNNNNNNNNNNNNNNNNNNNNNNNNNNNNNNNNNNNNNNNNNNNNNNNNNNNNNNNNNNNNNNNNNNNNNNNNNNNNNNNNNNNNNNNNNNNNNNNNNNNNNNNNNNNNNNNNNNNNNNNNNNNNNNNNNNNNNNNNNNNNNNNNNNNNNNNNNNNNNNNNNNNNNNNNNNNNNNNNNNNNNNNNNNNNNNNNNNNNNNNNNNNNNNNNNNNNNNNNNNNNNNNNNNNNNNNNNNNNNNNNNNNNNNNNNNNNNNNNGAUUUUUGCAUGGAUUAGGAAAAGAUUUUGAUAACAAAAAGAAUCUAAGUCAUAGAUCCAAGCAUAAUCUUACCUUAGAUGAAGAAUUUUGUGGAAAUUUCCUCUUGAAUGCUUCCUAAAUUUCGAGAUCUUUAACUGGAGAGGGAGGAUUGUUCUUCAAGACUUAGAGAGUUUGGAAGAGAUUUUUGUGGUGUGUGUGUGUUUGCAUAUGGCCGAGAGUGAGAGAGAGGAGAGAAGAGAAGUGAUUUUGAAGUGAUGUUGCAUGGAAGAAUGAGAUAUAAUGCAUGGAUAUCCAAUGAAUAAAAAUGAGGUGGCAUGGUAAAGUCAACUCUCCUCUUGGGCUUGAUUUGGGCCGAAAACAUGGAGGAAAAAAAAGAAAUUUGGGCCUUUGCCCUUAAGCCCAAUAUUAGAGUUAAUCUUGGGUAUGUUUUAAGUCUAAAAGAAUGUGGUAGGAUUUUUAUAUUUUUAUUGGACUAGUUUAGGUUAUUCAUGUAUCAAGGCUUUUAAUUCAUUUCAUUCUAGGCCCAACAUGGCCCAAAAUGUUGAAAUAAAUUAGUGUGGGUCCAAUUAGAGCCCAAAUUAGGGUUCUAAGCCCAUGAUAGUCUAAUUGGAAGCUUAUUGGUUAGUCCAAAAUGGACUUAAACAAGGACUUCUAGGGUCUCCAAUUGUUUGAUGACUAUUUGUAGUACUUGUAUGAUGCAUUGGAUUUAAGUUUUUGAUUCACAUUAACUUGAGUGUAUAGAUUACAGGACACAAAAUUUCCAGUUGUGACAUGCAUGUACACUUAGGAAGUGUUAGAAUGCUCAAAACCCAUCAGUGGUAUCAGAGCCUAGGAUUGUUUUUUGUAUACUUGAUGCAAAACUGCUUAAAAAUCGAAAAAUCUGCUCACUGACGACUGGACUCGCCGAGUUCAUGGGGAGGACUCGCCGAGUCCAUGAACAAAUUCAUCAUACUCGUCGAGUAGGAUCAUGCACUCGACGAGUAGGAGCGUGCUGGGCAGUUUUUCGAGUUUUGUUGCUGGAAAUGGAUUAAAAUCAUUAUCCCAAUCUGUUUUGGACUUGUAAAAUCUAUUUUUCAAAGUGAUAAUGACUAUGUUAACCCAUUUUGCAUGACUUUUAUCAAUGUUCAAGUAUUGUAUAUGUUUAUAUANGCAUGUAUAUAGAGAAAACAUAGAUUCAAGGUUAUUAGGGUUGCAUUGUCACACCCCCGAACCAGACGGCGGAAAUNGAAGAGACUUGGAAUAGUUUCAAUUCUUGCCCUCAAGUUUUGGAAUUUGAAAAGUCUUACACUCUAAUACUUUAAUUCCAAAUUAAACCUUAGAUUUUUAAAAAGUUUAAAAAUCAACACUUAUACUAUUAUUAUAAUUUUAUUAUAUAGAUAUGUAUAAGAAUAUGUCGUUCUUACCGUUAGUAGGCCUCAUUCACGAAGCCGGUCUAUAAGGGGGGUAUAAGGUUGUUGCCUAUAAAAUGGUGACUUAAUGGGUGUCCACUCUCACCCACCGCUUCCUUGAUCGGUGGAGGGUCGUUAGCCGAACGGGUAGGAUAUGACUUUAAAUUCUCAUUAAAAGUAUAAUGAAUUAUAAAGUAACUAUACAUUAUAAAUUCCCAAUCUUAGUUACUUUAGGAAAAUGUGAAAUUGGUGCUAGCCCAUAAAAUUACACUUUGUACCUUACCAAGUCGUUAGUGGAGCGUGUGUGGUUAACCGGCACACUAACAUGGACAAGUAAGAGUGGCAAAAGGUGACUUGACUUCAUUAUAGAUCGGUGGAGCAUGUGUGGUUAACCGGCACAUCGAUUAGGUAAUAUUGUUAAGGGUACCAAGUCAAUUUGUAUGGUUAUUCACACCUUGUUUGUGAUCCUCGGCAUCCCAGUCACAAACUUGAGAGGGCACAUUCGAGAUUCAAACAUGCCAUUGAAAAGUUCAAUGUAUCUCAAAAGAUCUAGGAGUUUCAAAACCAAUAAAACCUAAUAAUAAAAUAUUUCGUUCUUAUGGUGGAAAUUGGUAAAUCGUCAUUUACCUACCUUCAAAUAUUUUAUAGUGUGGAUUACGGCAUCCCUCUUCCACCUAUAAAUAGUUUGUUGGAUCCUAGCCUUAAUAUUUCAUUUGGGUGACUUAUUAAGGAUUCUUAAUCUAAUGAAACUUGUCUUUCUUUCAGAUGUCUUCCAAUAACGCUGCUAGCUCAAACCCUACAAGCUCCUUUUCCCUAAUGAACUUGUGUGGUAAGGUCAUCUUUGAUGGAUCCAACUUUAAUGAGUGGAUCAGAAACAUCAGGAUGAUUACCCGCUAUGAGGACCAAGAAUAUGUCCUUGACAGGGAGCUUAAGGUUGUUAAUGAAGUCACUGCUACUCCUGAAGAGUUUGCAGAGUUCAUUGCACAUGAGAAGGAGGCCACCAAUGUGUCUUGCAUCAUAAUGGCCACAACCGGAACUCCAAAAAUCUUAUGAAGAUUUCUACCCCUAUGAGAUGCACCUAGAUCUGAUGGAAAGGUACCAUCAGAGCGCGCGUCAAGAGAGGUAUGAAAUCAUUUCCUCCAUGAUAACCGCAAGGAUGAAGGAUGGUGAACCCAUCACCGGUCACUUGCAGAAGAUGCAGAGGUUCGUUGACCGGUUGCUAAAGCUCAAUGUUGACUUCCCUGAGGAAUUGGCGAUUGACAUCAUUCUCCAUUCCUUACCUCCAAGUUAUGAUCAGUUUCGUAUGACUUAUCAUAUGAACAAGGAGGAAGUCACACUUAGCAAACUUCAAGGACUCUUAAGGACAGCUGAAAAUGGCCUUAAGGGUAAAGCGGUUGCUACUUCUACUCCUUUAACAGCCCCUGUUCUUGCAAUUGGGCAAGGGAAGGGUAAGAAGAGGAAAAGCCCUUCAAAGGGUACCAAGGGUAAGACUCUUGAUGGUUCCUCUUCAAGUGGGACAAAGAAAGGUCCCAUUACUCCUUCUUCGAACCCAAAGGAAGCACAGUGCUUCUAUUGCCAAGAUAAGGGACACUUCAAGCGAAGCUGCGCCAAAUAUCUGCAAGAUGUAAAGGAUGGGAAGGUUAAACCCACCCAUGCAGGUAUUUACACAAUAUUGUCUAACAACUCAUCUAAUGCUAAUUCUUGGGUGCUUGAUACAGGGUGUGGUAUUCACAUUUGUACUGAUUUGCAGGCACUAAGAAGAAGUGAGCAAGUGGAGCACGGGAAGAUAAACUUAGUCAUGGGCAACAGGAAAGCAUCACCUGUUACCAAGAUAGGAGUUUAUUCUUUAUUGCUUAAUAAUGGGUUAAUGUUAGAUUUGAAUAAGUGUUGUUACUCGCCCGAAAUGGCGAGAAAUAUUAUUUCUUUUCAUGGCUUGUACAAACAAGGUUUUACAUUUUCAUUUGAUAAUAAAAAUGGUGCUAUUAAUGUUUAUUACAAUGAUGUAUUUUACUUUAAAGCAAUACCUUGUGAUGGUGUAUAUGAAGCCGUGAAUGUUGUAGACAAUCUAGGAAAUAAUGUGUUGUAUAUUGAUUCUUCUGAUAGCUUGGAUAAAGCAUCCUUGUGGCAUUGUCGUCUUGGACAUGUUAGCAAGAAGCGCAUAGGCCAACUCCAAAAGGCUGGAGUCUUGGAAUCAUUUGACCUCAAGUCAGAUGAUAGUUGCGAGUCUUGUUUACUUGGAAAAAUGACAAAGUCACCCUUCACAGGUACUUGUGAUAGGGGUGAAGGUUUGUUGGACCUUGUACACACGGAUGUGUGUGGGCCCUUCAGAGUUGCUACAAGGGAUGCUAAUCGUUAUUAUGUGACUUUUACUGAUGAUUACAGUAGAUAUGGAUAUAUUUACUUAAUCAAGCAUAAGUCAGAAACCUUUGAAAAGUUCAAAGAGUUUAAGCAGGAAGUUGAGAAUCAAUUGGGCAGGAACAUCAAGAUGCUCCGAUCCGAUCGGGGAGGAGAGUAUCUUAGCAUUGAGUUCCUUGACUAUCUUAAGGAAUGUGGGAUUGUCUCACAAUUGACACCUCCCAGGACACCACAGUUGAAUGGUGUAGCUGAGAGGCGCAAUCGAACCCUGUUGGAUAUGGUUCGUUCCAUGAUGAGUCGAGCUUCGUUACCAAUCUCUUUCUGGGGGUAUGCCUUAGAGACUGCCGCCCAUAUCCUUAAUCUAGUCCCUACUAAAAAGGUUGCCAAAACACCUCACGAGAUGUGGACUGGGAAAGUGCCCAAUUUGGACCACAUCAAGAUUUGGGGUUGUGAAGCUUUUGUGAGGCGUGAGACUCAUGACAAGCUUGAACCCCGAAGCGAGAGGUGUAUUUUCAUCGGCUACCCACAGAGAUCCUUUGGUUACCUCUUCUACAGACCCAGUGAUAAUGUGGUCUUUGUAGCAAGAAGAGGAGUCUUUCGUGAGAGAGAAUUCAUAAGCCAAGGGGACAGUGGGAGGCAAAUUGACCUUGAAGAACUUCAAGAGUCAAGUGGUGAAGGAACCUCAAAUGAUGUCAGCCAACAUGAGGAGGAGACUCCUGUUGAGCCGAUAGAUGAAUCUGUACCUCCAAUACGUUCCAUUAGGGUCAGGAACACACCUGAUUUUUAUUAUGGUUAUCACAUCACCACUGAAGGUGAUACAUUUAUCAGUGAUAGUACACUGAUAGAUUUGGAUGAACCUAAUAAUUAUAAGGAAGCCAUGGCAGGCCCUGAGUCUGCGAAAUGGAAGGAGGCUAUGGACAGCGAGAUUCAGUCCAUGUAUGACAAUCAAGUUUGGAACUUGGUUGACAAUGUACCAGGUCGUAAGACAGUUGGGUGCAAAUGGAUCUUCAAGAAGAAGACCGACAUGGAUGGGAAAGUACACACUUAUAAAGCGCGACUGGUUGCGAAGGGCUUUACUCAAACUCCGGGAGUUGACUAUGAUGAGACCUUCUCACCAGUAGCUAAGAUUAAGUCUAUUAGAGUGUUGUUAGCCAUAGCUGCAUUUCAUGACUAUGAAAUAUGGCAAAUGGAUGUCAAAACCGCUUUCCUUAAUGGGAAGUUGGCUGAGGAUGUUUACAUGGCUCAGCCAGAGGGUUUUGUCGAUCCAAAAUACCCUAAUAGAGUGUGUAAGCUUGAAAAAUCCAUUUAUGGAUUGAAACAAGCAUCUCGCAGGUGGAAUCUUUGCUUUGAUGAGAAAGUCAAAGAGUUUGGCUUUUCUAGGAGUGAGGAUGAGUCUUGUGUGUAUGUCAGGGCUAGUGGGAGCAUAGUUAGCUUCUUGGUGUUGUAUGUGGAUGACAUACUUCUCAUAGGAAACGACAUCCCAACUUUGCAGGAGGUUAAGGCCUGGCUUGGGAAGUGUUUUGCUAUGAAGGACCUUGGGGAAGCUGCCUAUAUCCUAGGGAUAAGGAUAUUGAGAGAUAGGAGUAAGAGACUAAUUGGACUUAGUCAAAGUACUUAUGUGGAUAAGGUACUGAAGAGGUUCAGUAUGCAAGAUUCCAAGAAAGGAGAAUUACCAAUCCAGAGUAAUGCCAAGCUAAGUAAGACUCAGAGUCCGAGUACAGAGGCUGAGAUAGCUGAAAUGAGUCAGAUACCAUAUGCUUCCGCUGUGGGCUCGAUCAUGUAUGCUAUGACUUGUACUCGCCCUGAUGUGGCCUUUGCUUUGAGCAUGGUCAGUAGAUAUCAAGGGAACCCUGGCAAGGCACACUGGACAGCGGUAAAGAACAUUCUCAAGUAUUUGCGGAGGACUAAGGACUGGGUCCUUACCCUCGGAGGCAGUGAUGACUUGAGAGUGGAAGGAUAUAGUGAUGCUAGCUUUCAAACUGAUAGGGAUAAUUUCCGCUCUCAGUCAGGCUGGGUCUUUAUCCUAAAUGGAGGAGCAAUUACUUGGAAAAGUUCCAAGCAGGAGACAGUAGCUGAUUCAACUUGUGAAUCAGAGUACAUAGCAGCAAGCGAGGCAGCAAAAGAGGCGAUAUGGCUAAAGAACUUCAUCGGAGACCUUGGAGUUGUACCAGCUAUAAAGGAGCCAAUGGAAAUUUUCUGUGACAGUGAAAGUGCGGUUGCUUUGGCGAAAGAACCAAGAGAUCACGGGAGAUCUAGGCACAUUGACAGAAAAUACCAUUUCAUCAGACAUAGAAUAGAAGAAGGACUCCUCGUGGCAAAGAGGGUAUCAUCAGAUGAGAACCCGGCAGAUCCCCUCACGAAGGGACUGAGCAGGGUUAAGCAUUUACAACAUGCGAGGUGCAUUGGGUUGAAGGAUGAUAUUAGUUUCAAUAAUUAGAUUCCUGAAACUUGUAAAAUGUAAUUUACAUUUGAUGAUAAAUAAAAGUUGUUGUUUAUUUAUGAGUAAGGUGUUACUAUCUUGUGUUGAUUGUUUACUAUGUUUCAAUUUUGCAUGUUUUUACUUCCAGAAUAAUUAUGUUAUUAUUCAAACCAUCCACAGUCAGUCAAACUUUGGAAGUAAGUAUUGAUUUAAGACUGUCAUGAAUUUGGCUUUGUANUAUGAUUUGUCUAAAGUGCUUUAGACAAUGCAAUGGUUGCUACAACAUUCUUGAGUACUCAUAAGGGCUGAGUAUUGGAUUCAACCCACGCUCACUUGCAUCACUUCAUGGAAUUCAUCUCGAGUCAUCGUUAGACAACAAUAUCAUAUAAAUCUUCAAACCUAGAGAUAUGAGUUGUUGACUAUGAGUUGGUUAUUCAUUGAUUGUACGAAACCGCAUUGGUAACUCGAUGUUAUAAAAUGUGCCUUUGUGAGUAAUUCAACAAGUAGUUAGUACAAGAAUAUCAGCCGAAGUUUAUCUGUUCCUUCUAGAAAUAGAAGCGAUAUCUGGGCCCCUCGAUGAUUUGGUUUUGACCUAUGUACCAGGCCCGAUCAGAACCUGAUAUGUGCAUAAUUAGUUAAUUAUUUAGCAUACAUUUUUAUUCAUUUUUAACUAAUUAUGUGUAUAAUGUGGACAAAAGGUACUUAAUAAUGUUUAAAUUUUGAUUUCAGUCCAAAAGACAUGCUUGGGAGUGAAAGGGAAUGAGGGGAAGAAAUUAGAGACCAAAGAAUGAAGAAUGAGGGACAAAAGCCUUCCUACUCUGCGAGUUCACGAGCCUACUCGGCGAGUUCAUUAGAAUAUUCUAGAAGAUAAGUCAAGACUCCUGGUAUGACACGGAUAACUAANAAGAGACUAAUUGGACUUAGUCAAAGUACUUAUGUGGAUAAGGUACUUAAGAGGUUCAAUAUGCAAGAUUCCAAGAAAGGAGAAUUACCGAUCCAGAGUGAUGCCAAGCUAAGUAAGACUCAGAGUCCGAGUACAGAGGCUGAAAAUAGUUGAGAUGAGUCAGAUACCAUAUGCUUCCGCUGUGGGCUCGAUCAUGUAUGUUAUGAAUUGUACUCGCCCUGAUGUGGUCUUUGCUUUGAGCAUGCUUAGUAGAUAUCAAGGGAAUCUUGGCAAGGCACACUGGACAGCGGUAAAUAACAUUCUCAAGUAUCUGCGGAGGACUAAGGACUGGGUCCUUACCCUCGGAGGAAGUGAUGACUUGAGAGUGAAAGGAUAUAGUGAUGCUAGCUUUCAAACUGAUAGGGAUAAUUUCCGCUCUCAGUCAGGAUGGGUCUUUAUCCUAAAUCGAGGAGCAAUAACUCGGAAAAGUUCCAAGCAGGAGACAGUAGCUAAUUCAACUUGUGAAUCAGAGUACAUAGCAGCAAGCGAGGCAGCAAAAAAGGCGAUAUGGCUAAAGAACUUCAUUGGAGACCUUGGAGUUGUACCAGCUAUAAAGGAGCCAAUGGAAAUUUUCUAUGAAAGUGAAAGUGCGGUUGCUUUGGCUAAAGAACCAAGAGAUCACAGGAGAUCUAGGCACAUUGACAGAAAAUACCAUUUCAUUAGACAUAGAAUAGAAGGACUCCUCGUGGCAAAGAGGGUAUCAUCAGAUGAGAACCCGGCAGAUCCCCUCACGAAGGGACUGAGCAGGGUUAAGCAUUUACAGCAUGCAAGGCGCAUUGGGCUGAAGGAUGAUAUUAGUUUCAAUAAUUAGAUUCCUGAAACUUGUAAAAUGUAAUUUACAUUUGAUGAUAAAUAAAAGUUGUUGUUUAUUUAUGAGUAAGGUGUUACUAUCUUGUGUUGAUUGUUUACUAUGUUUCAAUUUUGCAUGUUUUUACUUCCAGAAUAAUUAUGUUAUUAUUCAAACCAUCCACAGUCAGUCAAACUUUGGAAGUAAGUAUUGAUUUAAGACUGUCAUGAAUUUGGCUUGUAUGAUUUGUCUAAAGUGCUUUAGACAAUGCAAUGGUUGCUACAACAUUCAUGAGUACUCAUAAGGGCUGAGUAUUGGAUUCAACCCACGCUCACUUGCAUCACUUCAUGGAAUUUAUCUCGAGUGAUCGUGAGACGGUAAUAUCAUAUAAAUCUUCAAACCUAGAGAUAUGAGUUGUUGACUAUGAGUUGGUUAUUCAUUGAUUGUACGAAAACGCAUUGGUAACUCGAUGUUANCUGGGUUAGAUUGGAGUUGUCAUAUGUGAUUCUAAUAUGUUUAAAAUUCAGUUUUGCUUGGGGGCAAGCAAAAGUCAAGUGUGGGGUAUUUUGAUAUGUGCAUAAUUAGUUAAUUAUUUAGCAUACAUUUUUAUUCAUUUUUAACUAAUUAUGUGUAUAAUGUGGACAAAAGGUACUUAAUAAUGUUUAAAUUUUGAUUUCAGUCCAAAAGACAUGCUUGGGAGUGAAAGGGAAUGAGGGGAAGAAAUUAGAGACCAAAGAAUGAAGAAUGAGGGACAAAAGCCUUCCUACUCUGCGAGUUCACGAGCCUACUCGGCGAGUUCAUUAGAAUAUUCUAGAAGAUAAGUCAAGACUCCUGGUAUGACACGGAUAACUAACAUUUACUCGGCGAGUUGGGUCUGCUACUCGCCGAGUACACCCUGUUUUGUGAUAAUUAUAAAUACCAAACUAUUAUCUGAUUGGAAGGACUUCUGACGUUUUUGGAGCUUCAUCUGCGAUUGAAGAACCCUUGGAGGAGCUAAGGAACCCUAAUCUUCAAUCCCUUGAAGAAUCAAGGCAAUUAGGUUAAUCAUUCCACUUAGCUUUAGGAAUUAAGUAUGUUUAGCUUAGUUAAAUUUGUUUUUGUGUUUGUUUUUACUGCAACUAUGAACUAAAUUCGUUUUUGUUUCUGUUUGGGGAAUACCAAGUAACUCCUAUGGUUUAAUUCUUAGCUUUUGAUUGAUUGUUUAUUGGUGAUUUAUUAAAUUAAGUUUGUUAAAGAACCUUAUGCAUUAAUCACAACUAUUUUCUGUUAAUUGGAAGAUAAUUAAGCUGCAUAAACAUCUCUUAGUUGUUAACCUCAUAUGUCUAUGUGAACACUUAAUCAUAUGCUUAGGAAUAAUGAAUAUGAAACUAAGAUUAACAAGAGAAUGGGUAAAUUAAUGUGUGAGCUUGUUUGAGAAACCAACAAACAAGAGGUUAAUUGAAUCGCCAAUUUGAUUAACCAAUUACAAAUCUUAUUUAAUCCAAAUAAUUAAUCUAGGGAAUUAAUUAGUUUAAACACUUGAUCACUGCUUGAAUUAAUUGAUUGUCUAAGGGUUAGUAGUAAUGAACAUGAACCUAACCACUAUAGUUGAUAGCCAAUAGCAAUUAAUCUAUCAUAAAUUCAAAAUAACCAUAGGAGUGAAUUGGUUGAACCUAAAUAGAAACAUCUUAUUCAAAUUUGGUGAAUCAGUUACUUGCUUUAGUUAUUUAGUUAAUUAAGUGUUUAAGUUGUGUGUUUAAGUUUCUAGUCUUGCAAAACUAGAGAAAAACCCUUUUUACUUUCAUUAUUUGCUUAGUCAAAAUUAGUUAUUAGGUUAAUUUCCGUUCCCUGAGUUCGACACCCUACUAAUCCAACUAUACCACUAAAAGACAGGUUCACUGCCUUUGUGUGCUAAAUUUAUUAAUUAAAAGUAGGAAUAAAAUAAGUGCAUUUUACACACAUCAAGUUUUUGGCGCCNUUUGCACACAUUAAGUUUUUGGCGCCGUUUCCGAGGAACGGUUCUAAAUAAUUAAUCUAAUCCCUAAUUUUUUCGAUCCUUUGUGUGAGUUUACUGGCAUAAAGUUAAUUUAUUGCAAUUUAGUAGUUAGUAAUUAGGUGUUAGCAUCUGUUUUAGUUUUAAUAUUAAGUUUAGUUUUUUUUUUUUUUUAAAUUUCACUGUUACUCGCCGAGUGCAUUCGCACCUACUCGGUAAGUAUAAGUGUAUUUUGCAGUUAAUUUUCGUUUUUUUUAGUUGCAUUUUUUGUUCUUUUUACGUUUUUAUCUUGUUCUAUUUCAGGACUUUCAUGACCAGAGGAUCAAACAUUCCGCUGGUACCCCCGUUUGAAGACCCCGAAUCCGCAUUAAAAAGGAACAAAGGAAAGGACGUGGAGAGCUCGAGUACACCCAAGAAGUCACCUUUGUCUAACGUGAAGACUAUUUUUGGGAAGAAAAAGAGCAGCAAAGCAGGUCCAUCCAGCGCAUCUUUAGCAAGUGAAGAACCGAUCAAGGAAGACACCGAGUACGACACCGAGGAGGAAGAAGAACUUACAUACGGGCACGACUCCGAUUCCGGCGACGAGUUAGCUCUUACCAUGGCUAACAUUGAUGAAAUCCCCAUAGGGGAAUGGAAGAAGAGGAUACGCGAUGACACUGGCCCGGGACUUGUGCAACCCGCAAUUCCCGCGACUGCUACUUUUGAGCUCAAGGGUCAUAUCCUAGCAUUACUUAAAGAAAUACCUUUCUAUGGAAAAGACCACGAAGAUGCCUACAAGCAUUUGGAUGAAGUCAAUGAUGUAGCUAAUUACUUUAAUGUUCCAAAUGUGCCUCGUGAGACUCAGCUGCUUCGCAUGCUUCCAGUGACAUUCAAAGGCGCUGCAAAAGACUGGCUCAAAUCACUUCCCCCCUGAUCAGUCACCACAUGGGCCAAGAUGAAGGAAGAAUUCAUUGAUCACUUUUUCCCACCUUCCAAGAUAGCCAAGUUGAAGAAGGCCAUUGCUAACUUUGAACAACAAGUUGGAGAGUCGCUAUAUGAAGCUUGGGAGAAGUAUAAAAAGUUUGCUACGAAAUUGCCCACACCAUGACCUCAAUAGCCAGCAAGAAGUCUUCGUCUUCUAUGAUGGAGUCAAUGUCACAACCAGACAGUUAUUAGACUCGCAAGGCCCGCUCACAAAGAAGCCACCCCCGAUGAUCAAGGAAUUGAUUGAAGAAUUCUCUAAACACUCUAGAGAAUACCACAACCCUAGAAAUGAUGUUACUAGGGGAGCCGCAUAUGCAGCUACUGAAGACUUAUCCGUUGUCAUGGCUAUGAUAAAAACCAUGGAUAAGAGGAUGGAUAAAAUGGAUCAAACGAUCCAUACUAUUCAGGUGGGUUGUGAAAACUGCAAUGGGCCUCAUCUUGCUAGAGAUUGCGACUUGGAUGAGAAUGACAACAAGAAGGUGCAAGUAUGUUACUCAAGUGAGGACCGAUAUGAUGAAGACUGACGCAAACAAAAGAAAGAGUGGCUCCCUUAUGAAGAGUACAUGAAGGCCAAGGAGGAGAAGUUCAGGCAAAAAGGAAGAGGUUUCUACCAAAAGGAGGAGCCGGUACAAGAGAGAAAGCCAAGCUUGGAAGAGAUGCUUACCAAAUUUGUGGCUGCUUCCAAAAAAGACAUAGUGAUCAUGAUGCUGCAAUUCAAGAAACAAGAACCAUGCUAAGGAACCAGCAAGCAUCUAUCCAUAAUAUAGAAACGCAGCUUGGGCAACUUGCUCAACAAAUCAACCAAAGAUCACCGGGCGAACUUCCUAGUAAAACCGAAAAUAACCCACGAGGCGCGCACAUAAAUAUAGUUACAACAAGAAGUGGGAAAAUAAUCACUCCCUUGGCCCCUAUUCAGACUGAAGCAUCAAAGGAAUCACAGAAGGAGGAGGCAGAAAAUCAAGCAGAAAAUCAAAAUCUUCAAUCUAACAGCUCUACUCGCCGAGUACCAAAUAUGGACUCGGUGAGUACACUGCCAAAUCCGAAGGAACAGGUCCCUGAAAAGUUGUAUCAACCUCCAAUGUCAUACCCAACCCGAGCUAAGAAGGAGAAGCAGGAAGAGGAGUACCAGAAGUUUCUAGAUCAUAUCAAGGCUCUUCAAAUCAACAUACCCUUCAUUGAAGUUGUCAUACAAAUGCCCAAAUAUGCAAAGUUCCUUAAGGAACUUCUCAUUAAUAGAAGGAAGAUGGAGGAAGUGAAGAAGGUAGUCCUCAAUGAAAACUGCUCAGCUGCUAUGCUAAAUAAGCUACCAAAUAAGAAGGGUGACCCGGGGAGUUUGACUUUACCUUGCCAAUUUGGCAACUUGGCUACCAUUCAUGCCUUAGCCGAUUCAGGAGCAAGUGUGAACCUAAUGCCAUAUUCAUUCUUCAAGAAGUUGGAUCUCCCAGAACCAAGGCCAAUUCGCAUGGCAAUUCACUUAGCAAACAAGACAGUCACUUUUCCACGAGGCAUAUGUGAAGACUUAUUGGUCAAAGUGGACAAGUUUGUAUUUCCUACUGAUUUCAUCAUUCUAGACAUGGAGGCGGAUCCCCAAGUCCCAAUCAGCCUUGGAAGACCCUUCCUCAACACGGCAAGUGCUAUAGUAGACAUGAGGGACUCGAAGCUGACCUUGCGGGUAGGAGAAGAUUCAGUCACAUUUGGGGUAGAUCAAGCUAUGAAGUAUGCAAGGAACAGUGACGACACAACGUUCUCAAUUGACAUGCUUGAUGAGUUAUUGGAGGAAUGCAUAAGCGAAGAUUCCAGCAAGUUCAAAAUUUAUGAUGAAGAAUUUGAUCCAGAAAAAGACUUAAUAGAGAUUGAAAGGCUGCUGGAAGAAGCUGAGUUUGAAGAAUUGGUGAAGCAAGCUGACAGCUCUACUCGCCGAGUAGGGCUGAUAUACUCGCCGAGUUCCUCCUUAGAAAAGGCAGAAUUUGUAAAUGCAGCCACAAACUCGUCGAGUACCUUACCUGCACUCAGCGAGUCCAACAGUCGAUUCCAAAAAUCUGAGCUCAAAACGUUACCAGAACAUUUGGAGUAUGCUUUCCUUGAAGAGGGCAACCAAAAGCCAGUAAUCAUAGCCUCUGACCUUGAAGAGGGCAACCAAAAGUGUUGAAGAAGCGGAAGCGGGCCACAACAUGGAGCAUCACCGACAUCAAGGGAUUGAGCCCAUCCUAUUGCUCUUACAAGAUCAAUCUGGAAGAAGGAGUAAAGCCGGUUUUAUAGCACUAAAGAAGAUUAAACCUGAAUAUGCAAGAAGUAGUCAAGAAGGAAGUUGUUAAACUCUUAGAUGCGGGAAUUAUAUAUUCCAUUUCCGACAGUCCGUGGGUGAGUCCGGUCCAAGUGGUGCCCAAGAAAGGAGGGAUGAUGGUCAUAACCAACGAAAAGAGCAAGCUAAUUUCGACACGAAUGGUAACCGGUUGGAGAGUGUGCAUCGAUUAUCAAAAGCUAAACGAUGCCACUCGUAAAGACCAUUUUCCCUUACCUUUUAUUGAUCAAAUGUUAGAAAGAUUAUCGAGCCAUAGUUACUAUUGCUUUCUAGACGGAUUCUUGGGUUAUUUCCAAAUACCCAUAGACCCAAUGGACCAAGAAAAGACCACAUUUACUUGCCCAAGUGGGACUUUUGCUUAUAGGCGCAUGCCCUUUGGGCUAUGCAAUGCACCCACGACUUUUCAAAGGUGUAUGACAGCCAUAUUCCACGAUAUGGUAGAAAAAUUCAUGGAAGUUUUUAUGGACGACUUUUCCGUUUUUGGAUCUUCUUUCCAUGAUUGUCUCACAAAUCUUGACUUAAUGCUUGCUAGGUGUGAAAAAACCGACUUGGUCCUCAACUAGGAGAAAUGUCACUUUAUGGUUGAGGAGGGUAUAGUGUUAGGCCACAAGGUUUCCAAAAUUGGAAUUGAAGUGGAUCGGGCAAAGAUUGACACCAUUGCCAAAUUACCCCCACCAACUAAUGUGAAGGGCAUUAGAAGUUUUCUAGGACACGCGGGUUUUUACCGGCGUUUCAUAAAAGAUUUUUCCAAAAUAACUAGACCUCUAACACAAUUACUAUUAAAAGAUGCACCAUUUAAUUUUACUAAAGAGUGUUUAGAGGCAUUUGAAUUUUUAAAGGAAAAAUUAACUAAUGCCCCGAUCAUUGUUGCACCAAAUUGGAGUUUACCCUUUGAAAUUAUGUGUGAUGCUAGUGACUUUGCAUUAGGAGCUGUCCUUGGUCUAAAGGUUGAUAAGCACUUUCGACCCAUAUAUUAUGCUAGCAAGACUCUAAAUCCAGCCCAAGAAAAUUACACCACCACGGAAAAAGAAUUAUUAGUUGUGGUGUAUGCUUUUGAUAAGUUCCGUCCUUAUUUAGUUUUAUCUAAAACAAUCGUUUUACUGACCACUUUGCUAUCAAGUAUUUAUUUGCCAAACAAGAUGCCAAGCCAAGACUGAUACAAUGGGUGCUACUUCUUCAAGAGUUUGACAUAGAGAUACGAGACAAAAAGGGGAUGGAGAAUGUAGCAGCUGACCACUUGUCAAGGCUUGAAAACCCGCAAUUGCACGAAGAUAGAGUUGGCGAUGAUUUUCCGGACGAGUAUAUUAUGGUGACCGUGGGAGAAGAACCAUGGUUUGCAAAUAUAGCUAAUUACUUAGCUAGCAAUUACAUCCCAAAAGAUCUCACAAGUCAACAAAAGAAGAAAUUCUUUUCCGAGAUAAAAUAUUACUUUUGGGAUGAACCAUAUCUUUUCCGAAGCUGCACGGAUGAGAUCAUACGAAGAUGCAUGUUCGGGAAUGAAAGCCAGAAAAUAUUAGAGCAUUGUCGUAGUGGGCCCACGGGUGGACAUCAUGGAGCACAUUACACUGCAAAGAAGAUCUUUGACAUUGGGUUCUAUUGGCCCACAAUUUUUAAAGAUGCAGCCCAAUUUGUCAAAGAGUGUGAUGCUUGUCAAAGAGUGGGAAACAUUUCAUCUCGAAAUGAAAUGCCACAACAUAGUAUCCAAGUGUGCGAGGUAUUUGAUGUGUGGGGGAUCGACUUCAUGGGACCAUUUCCCAUGUCUAAAGAAAACAAAUACAUAUUGGUGGCGGUGGAUUAUGUAUCCAAAUGGGCGGAGGCACAAGCGUUACCAACUAAUGACGGUCGGGUAGUGGUGCGGUUUUUAAAGAAGUUAUUUUCACGAUUUGGAGUCCCGAAAGCUCUUAUAAGUGACCGAGGCACGCAUUUUGCCAAUGAUCAACUAUAGAAGGUGCUAAGGAAAUAUGGGAUAACCCAUAAAUUUUCUACAUCCUACCAUCCACAAACUAGUGGACAAACCGAAGUGACAAAUCGAGCUUUAAAGCGAAUCUUGGAGAAAUCGGUGGGGAGCAAUCGCAAAGAAUGGUCGGAUAAGCUAGACGAUGCACUUUGGGCUUUCCGUACAGCUUUCAAAACCCCUAUUGGUACUACACCAUAUAGGUUAGUUUAUGGAAAGCAAUGUCAUUUGCCGGUGGAGAUAGAGCAUAAAGCUUUUUGGGCUUUAAAGAUGUGAAACUUCAACAUGGAGGAACUCAAGAGCAGCCGGUUAAUGUAAAUGAAUGUUCUUGAGGAACUUAGAAAUGAUGCAUACUCUAGUUCGUUGAUCUAUAAAGAGAAGACCAAGAUGUGGCAUGUCAAGAGGAUAAAAGAAAAUAAAGAAUUUCAUGAAGGCCAAAAAGUGUUGCUCUUUAAUUCACAACUAAAGCUAUUCUCGGGAAAACUCAAUUUAAGAUGGGAUGGUCCUUUUCUGGUAAAGACGGUGUUUCCACAUGGUGCUAUAGAGCGAUUGUCAAGAGAUGGAACACCUUUCAAGGUCAAUGGACAUAGGGUCAAAAAGUAUAAAGAAGGAGUCCCCAGGAAUGAAGGUAUGGAAGAAUUGUUGUUGCUGGAGGGAAUUGAAACCACGUAAAAGGGGAGGAGUCCGGCUAAUGACUCCUUAAAAAGAAGCGCUUCUCGGGAUGCAACCCGAGUCUCAAGUUUGCAUUUUCUUUCCUUUCCUUUAUUUUUAUUUUUAUUUUAUCUUUUUCAUUCGUCUUCUUCUAAGAAUAUAAUUGCUUGAGGGAAAGCAAUGCCUAGAGAGUGGGGUGGAUGGUUAAAAAUGAGAAAAUACAUUAAUUUUUCAAAACAUUCAAAUUUUUUUCAAACUGCAAGGAUUACUCACUGAGUAGGCACGUAUACUCGGCGAGUACCUGCCCAAGUAACCCAAUAAACGCAUAACAGCAGUUCUACUCGGCGAGUAGCCAACUUACACAGAUGGUUUAUAAUCUGUAAAAUAAGGGUUUUCUCCCAUUUAACCUAUACACUCGCCGUGCACGGCAUCCUUCAAGCAUUCUCUGUGAUUUCUUCAAUUUUCCACUUAAUCUUCGUCUUUCAAAGGAAAAGGUAAGAUCUUUACACUUAAAACUCAUCAAAGGUUCAAGCUUUAUCAUUGAUUUGCCCUUAUUUUGCUUAAAUUCGGAUUUGGGGGUUUCCUCAGAUUCUAGGGUUCUAACUUUGCCAUGAAUUAGGUAAUGUUAGGAGAAAUUUCUUUUGGAUUUAUGGUUAUUUGACUUAAUACAGCAAACCCCUAUGAAAAAUUAGGAGUUUUGGACAGCCUAUAUAUGAUCGACGAAUUUUGGUCCCGAUGUUCAUCCUACUCGCCGAGUAGGUCGUGUACUCGGAGAGUAGGAGGCUAUACAGAACUGUUUUAUUCGAUUUUAAUUACUGGGUGUUGUUUGUUUGUGCUUUCUUAAUGUUGUUAUGCAGGUACCAUGUCCAGAAGGGGUCAGUCUUCACGAGGGGGAAGCCAAGAGGACAUCCCAUGGCUCUCGUUCCGUCAAAUUACAUCCAAAUCGUCUCAUUCCCGUGCAAAGAACAAGUUGGAGGCGCUGAAACAGAAGGAGAUUCAUUUACCCAACGCUGUUGACUGGUAUUGGUUGGGAAAAGUGGGUUUGGAGGAGGAGCUCACACCAUAUUUGGUGAAGGAGUGCAACUUGGGGGAUACCACCAUCAUAUGUGAUGGUUGGUUGCAGUUAUUCAAGCUACAAGAACCUGUUUAUGCUGAACUGUGUUGGGAAUUUUUUGCUACCAUCUCAUUCCGAGGUGGUAGUGAGUAUUACAACCCCAACAUAAUUUCUUUUUCUCUUGGUGGUGAGCUGCGACAAUGCAGCAUGGCUGAAUUUUCCUGGAGGCUGAGGAUUUAUGAUUAAAACACUAUGCUGACUGAGGAUUUUGAAGCCUUUCUGGGAAACUGCCAUAAGGAUCUUCCCGAGGCAGUGGUUGCCUCUACCUGGUGGAAUACUAUUGCCAACCGGGUGUAUAAUCCUUCUACCGCUCAGGAGGGUCAUAUUCGCUCGCCGAUCCAUCAUCUUAUUCACCACUUCGUGGCCAACACGAUCAACAUGUUGAAGGAUUAGGACAAGGUUCCAACCCUUGAUACCUUCUAUCUUUGGAGUAUUAUUACUCCCGACGUUUUCUGCAACAUCCCCUAUUGCAUAGCUAAGUUUCUUGCGGAAGGGGCUGUUAAGGAGAAGAUCAACUCCAAGAUCAAUGGAGGGAUGUUUGUGACGAGGUUGGCGAGGUCGUUUUGGGUCUUAGAUUUGCAAGAAGCAAGAGCGCUCACGGUCAUUUAUNUAUCCCCCCCCGUUCAACACUGCAUUAUAUAGGAGGGCACGGAUCGUGGAGAAGUUUGGUGAUUCCUUUUCCAUUCCACAUGCGGAUGAGCCGGCAAUCCUCGAGGAGUCAGGAAGGCGGGUAAGGCAACGUAGCGAGCGGGUACAAGAAGACCCACCGGUUAUUCCGGUGGAGGAGGACAACGAUGGGUGGAAUCAAGUGGAGUACCGACGCUAUUUGGACGAUAUUGGAAGAGGAGUAAACUAUAAUAAUCAAUCUUUUGAAUACCUCUUCCAACAAAUGAACAUUGCACCAAGACCCGGACCCAGCUAUCCAUACAUUAUGAGUUGGGAAGAAAGAAUGAGGAGAAGAAAUAAAGAAGGAGGAAGCGGAGCUGGAGGAGCCGAUAUGGAAGAAGAAGAUUGAGGACUUUAUUUUUAUGUUUUAUGUUUUUAUGGUGUUUUGUUUUGAACAAUUGUUAAAACUUGGAUGAUUUUUGUUUUUUUUAGGAUUUUUAUUGCUUUCACUUUUAGUUGCUUAUUUUUCAGGGAUGGAAGGUUAGGAACCAUAAUAAAGUGUCAAGGGUCAAGUAAGGAAUGAGAGAUGUUCAAGAAAAAGUACGAAGUAUUGUCCUUAGGAUUGAGUCCGUUAGAGUCGAGAGUAAUGGAGGGUGUUGCUGCUGAAGGGUUUAGAGAAAGGGUCAGUGAAAUUUCCAAUUUCAAAACCUGAGUCAAAAGGAACACGAGUUGGAUCAGUUUUGGAAAUAUAGUGCCUACUCGCCGAGUGCACAAAUUCUACUCGGCGAGUACAUGGGUCAUUACACGUUAUAGUUCCAAGAUAAGAGACACUCGCCGAGUACACGGCAAUACUCGCCGAGUAGACUUGCAAUUUUCGAGUUCCAGAGCUGUUUUGAGCAUUUUCAUUGCAAUACUUGUCCGUUUUUCGUGAAGAAUUGUUACUGAAGAUUUCUAAGAAGUUUUUCCCUUGAUAUUUUCGAGCUGUCAACCACACGAGACGAAUGACACCCAAGACAUGGAUGAGCUGUUCCCAUGUCUAAAGUCAAAUGAAGAUGGAGCUGAAAAGAAGAGUUAUCAACCUAUCGACUGCUACCCCAGGGGAGUUUGUUCCAAUUCUCUCUAUAGUUUGCAUUUUUAUUUUUGCAUGAUAUGCAAUGAGGGCAUUGCAUAAAAUAAGUGUGGGGUAGGGGGUUGGUCACAUAUUAUUAAAUCUAGAAUCUUAAUUUGUGCUAAUUUUAAAAAAAUUUGCAUACCAAGAAUAUGAAUUAGGAAUUAAUUUAGAAAAUUUUGGUAAAAAUAAUAAUUAGGAUUCCGUGUUAGAAUUGUAUGGAUAAUUGCAUGAAGACCCAAAUAUUUAGUUGAGCCAAUAUAUGUUAUAAUGUAUUUGUGGCCUCCCUUAUUCUAGUAAAAUCAUGGGACAAAAACACAACCUUGCUUAGCCCGAGGGAUGCAAUAUGUUUAGCAUCGUGUACUUGAAAUGUAUCCAGGAAAAUUGUUAUUUUAGCCAAUAAAUGUUGAAGUUGAGCGCCCCUGCUUAAGCAUGUAGGGCUUUGAGUGAAAAAAAAGUGAGAUACAUGUUAAAAAAAGAGAAUUACAAGAAGAGUUUGAAGAGUUUUGAAGCUUUCAAAGUGGAGAUCAAAAGAUUGAAAAUUCUGAAAAUUAAAAUUUUUUGAAGAUACCAAAGAUCAAGAAGAUAGUGAAUUCAAAGAAAUCAAGAUCAAAUGCCAAGAAGUGAAGAAUUCCAAAGAACUCUAGUGUGGUAUCAUGUAUUGUAAUUCUAGACUAUGUAUGCUUGGGUUGCUCAAUCAAAAAUACCUUGAGGAUAAGAGGUUUUCUAGGGAUGGAUUCGGAGGGAUGCAUAAAAUGAGCAUUGUUCGGGAAAAGUGGGUGAAUGUUUAUAAGGAUUGUGAGUAUUUAGAGUAUGGGGGUAUUUAGGACAAUUUUAGACACCAAUGCAUGCGUUGCGGUCUUGGCAUAAUGGCUGGGUUAGAUUGGAGUUGUCAUAUGUGGUUCUAAAAUGUUAAAAUUCAGUUUUGCUUGGGGGCAAGCAAAAGUCAAAUGUGGGGUAUUUUAAUAUGUGCAUAAUUAGUUAAUUAUUUAGCAUACAUUUUUAUUCAUUUUUAACUAAUUAUGUGUAUAAUGUGGACAAAAGGUACUUAAUAAUGUUUAAAUUUUGUUUUCGGUCCAAAAGACAUGCUUGGGAGUGAAAGGGAACGAGGGGAAGCAAUUAGAGACCAAAGAAUGAAGAAUGAGGGACAAAAGCCUUCCUACUCUGCGAGUUUACGAGCCUACUCGGCGAGUUCAUUAGAAUAUUUUAGAAGAUAAGUCAAGACUCCUGGUAUGAGACGGAUAACUACCAUUUACUCGGCGAGUUGGGUCUGCUACUCGCCGAGUACACCCUGUUUUGUGAUAAUUAUAAAUACCAAGCUAUUAUCCCAUUGGAAGGACUUCUGACGUUUUUGGAGCUUCAUCUGCGAUUGAAGAACCCUUGGAGGAGCUAAGGAACCCUAAUCUUCAAUCCCUUGAAGAAUCAAGGCAAUUAGGUUAAUCAUUCCACUUAGCUUUAGGAAUUAAGUAUGUUUAGCUUAGUUAAAUUUGUUUUUGUGUUUGUUUUUACUGCAACUAUGAACUAAAUUCGUUUUUGUUUCUGUUUGGGGAAUACCAAGUAACUCCUAUGGUUUAAUUCUUAGUUUUUGAUUGAUUUUCUAUUGGUGAUUUGUUAAAUUAAGUUUGUUAAAGAACCUUAUGCAUUAAUCACAACUAUUUUCUGUUAAUUGGAAGACAAUUAAGCUGCAUGAACAUCUCUUAGUUGUUAACCUCAUAUGUCUAUGUGAACACUUAAUCAUAUGCUUAGGAAUAAUGAAUAUGAAAAUAAGAUUAACAAGAGAAUGGGUAAAUUAAUGUGUGAGCUUUUUUGAGAAACCAACAAACAAGAGGUUAAUUGAACCGCCAAUUUGAUUAACCAAUUACAAAUCUUAUUUAAUCCAAAUAAUUAAUCUAGCGAAUUAAUUAGUUUAAACACUUGAUCACUGCUUGAAUUAAUUGAUUGUCUAAGGGUUAGUAGUAAUGAACAUGAACCUAACCACUAUAGUUGGUAGCCAAUAGCAAUUAAUCUAUCAUAAAUUCAAAAUAACCAUAAGAGUGAAUUGGUUGAACCUAAAUAGAAACAUCUUAAUCAAAUUUGGUGAAUUAGUUGCUUGCUUUAGUUAUUUAGUUAAUUAAGUGUUUAAGUUGUGUGUUUAAGUUUCUAGUCUUGCAAAACUAGAGAAAAACACUUUUUACUUUCAUUAUUUGCUUAGUCAAAAUUAGUUUUUAGGUUAAUUUAUGUUCCCUGAGUUUGACACCAUACUAAUCCAAUUAUACCACUAAAAGACAGGUUCACUGCCUUUGUGUGCUAAAUUUAUUAACUAAAAGUAGGAAUAAAACAAGUGCAUUUUACACACAUCAGAACCUAAUUGAUGUGCUCAAUUUAGUUCUAUGUCGAAACAAAUUAGAGAUCGAGAAAAAAAUGUUGGACAAUAAGUAAGACCAUGUUCCAUGUGUUUGUCCGGCUGAUAUCAUGAGAACAGAGGAUUAUAUGAUCACUUAUCUUAAAUGGCGUAUCAUCAUCAUCUCAGUUCCGAGAGACUUUGAAAGAGCUACGAUUGCUAGUCGGAUUUUGAAGUCAUAUUUGCAAAUAUAGUUAUUAGACUUAUCCAAGUGGGAGACUGUUGGAUAUAGUGUCUAAGUCCAUAACUUUAUUUGGUAUGUACUUGACCCAACCCAGCAUGAUCCAUUUGGGUUGCAUGGCAUUGCAAUACUUGGAUAAACUAAAUGAGAGAAUGAGGCACUUGUGAUUAUUAAUAUAUUAUAAGCUCUAAUAUAUUAAUAAUAGUAUUAUUUAAUUAGUAUUGAUCAAAUAUUAAUUUGGUGAUCAAAGUGAGACUAAUUAAAUAUAUAGGGUUGAUUAUGACAAUCAUCAAUUAUUUUAUGGUGGAUUAAUGAUCCAUGGUUUAUGGGUUAUGGAUGUAACCAUUUGGAGCUCCAUGGAUAGUCCAUGGGAGUUACAAACCCAUGGGCCAUGAGAAAUGAAGAGUCAUGACAAUUAUGGGUCUUCAUGAUGAAACCCUAAUUGUGACACCACUAUAAAAGGACCCUUUGGCUAGCAAAAUCGGACCUAGUGUUACUAGAGAGGGCAUAACCGAUUUUUAAGUGUAAGAAUUAUUCUCUCAAGUUAUUCCAAGUUUUGUGGUGUUGUGUGAAGCAUUUGAGGCACGACAUUUGGGGUGCUAGGCUCACAUAGUCUUGAAGGAAUCCAAGCAACAACAAGGUAUGUAUUUCUAGUAGUUUUUAUGUUUUAUGUAAUCCCCAUGUCAUGCUAGUUAGGAAAUAACCUUGAAAAAGAAUUUUGCAUGUAUAUAGAGAAAACAUAGAUUCAAGGUUAUUAGGGUUGCAUGUACACUUAGGAAGUGUUAGAAUGCUCAAAACCCAUCAAUACAUUGUAUAAAACCUGUAUAGCAUGUUUAUUCAAUAUAUAUUCCAAAUAACAUAUGAGGCACAUACACAUAACACGUAUUUCAUAGAGAAUAAAUCAUAUCUAUGAGUCAGAAGAAAGUGAAUAUAAAUUCACACAUAUAACACAGAUAUAUACAUAUAACACGUAUUUCAUAUCAAAUACUUCAUAAUUAUGCAUUAGAAGAAAGUAACUACACACUCACUUGAUCAGAAGAUGAUCGGGCAGCACUACGGCUCUAAGAGUAGUAUUCUUCGGUGAAACCGGGAUCACUUUACACAACGGGCUUCUCGCUAGCAGAGCUUCAGCUCGGAAACUAUUUUCUUCUCAGGAUCUUCGGGCUUCGUGACUCGCUUUGGGUCUCGGGAUGCUAUUGGGGCUUUGGGGGUACUUCUUUGCAUGUAAAUCGAGGUAAUAUGAGUGAGAGGAGAGAAUUUGAGCAACCAAACUCUGCUGGCCCUUCAAAUCUAUUUAUAGGGCAAAGUUUUCAUUUUCCACGUCGUGGGUUUGGUCGUCAUUGCAUGCUUCAUCGCAAGUUGGGUCUAGGAGACUCCAGGAGGCGUCAAAAGACUUUCCAUGUCGUGGCACUGUUUGCCACGUCGUGGUGGCUGACAGUUUUGGGGUUUCGCGCCCCGAACUUUAGAAAUUCAUAACUUUUGCAUACGAACUCCGUUUUCGACAUUCGUUAUAUCGACGCGUAGGUGAGAAUAUGCUCUACAACUCUCGUUUAGACUCCAUUGGCUAACUUUGGCUUUAUUUUUAAUAUAUUAUAAAUAUAUUACUUUUAUAUUAUUUUUAGUAGGCCGGGACAGGAAAACUCCAAUAGAAAUUCAUAACUUCUUCAUCCGACAUCCAUUUUUGUCUGUCUUUUUACUGUUGGACUACUAUCGAAGAGAUCUUAGGUUCUCAUUUAGAUUUUUUCAGCUAAAAAUCACUCGAUCUCAUAUUCGAGUAUCCGGGUUGCAUACCGCUAAGUCGAAACUUCGGAAAAUAACUUCCUCAUACGAAGUCAGAUUUGGGCAUUCUUUUUAUGCACGCUCUCGGUAUAACGAAAUCUUCAAAUUUCGUUUAGAUUGCUAAGGAUAUAUAUCGCUCUAUCUUAAAAUUCAUAUUUUACGUCAUUCGGCGUCGUGUCGGUUCUGUCGCGAAACUUUGACAGAUCAAAACUUCUUCGUUAUAACUCGGAUUUCGACGUUCUUUAUAUCUCCGGAAUCCUUGUUUCGACCACUACAACUUUAUGUAAAGAUAUUAGGUUUAUCUCACACUUCAUUUUGACGCUUAUUUUAUUCUUAAUUCAAUUAAUACACACAACUAAACACAAAACACAUAAUACUCAAAUAAUACACUUCUAUUAUUUCAAAACGGGUUACAAAGGUUAACCUAGACUAUUAUAUUAACAUUAAUGACAAGCCCAGAAACACAAGCGUUACACUUUCCACCUUCAAGAUAUAAUGGAAACAAAGGACUAUGUGGUCCUCCCCUUACCAAAAAAUGUCAUGGAGAUGAAGAAUCAGAAUCACCACCCAUCAUUGGUAAAAGUAAGGGUGAUGGGGAAGACACAGAUGAUGAACUCAUGAGAUUGUUUUAUGUUGGUGGGGGCAUGGGUUUUGCUACUGGAUUUUGGAUUACAUGUGGGGCUUUCCUUGUCAACCGUCGAGGGAGACAUGCAUUUUUUCAUCUUUUUGAUAGCUUCAAAGAUUGGGUUUAUGUGAAGGUGGUUGUGUUCGUUUCAAGUUUGCAAAAGGCUAGACAGAUGUAAUUUGUUAUCUAAUUCUUAUUUUUGACUUCUUAUUUCCCAGUAUAGAAUGUAAUAUGGUAGUGGUUUUUAAUCCCCCAAUAUCAAUAAAUUAAGACUACUUUUGGCGCAUUUUUGUGACUUGGUAGUCGGUAAUUAAGUGCGCUUUAUUUAUGUUUAAUUAAAAAUGAGCUUUCAAUUAGAUGGGUGGGCCAUUAGGUUUAACUAAUAAAGAACUCUUAAAAACCAAGACUGAUACGACGCACAAGGCACGACAUGAUUCAGUGACAAUAAAAAUAAUUAAAAAAUAUCAGGCAUUCAAUCAUCUUCUCCAAGUUGAUUGUCAACGAAUCGUUUUCUACUCUUCUUCAGCUAUACUUCUUCCAGUCACUAAACACCAAGGUAUGUUGCAUAGUUUCCUACUUUCAUUCUACCCCAAUUCUACUCUCCUAUCAGCUCUCUAGUCUCUAGUUUCAUGCAUAGUAAUGUAAGUAUGUAACAUUGUAAUGAAUCUUCUCUGCAUGCAUGUAAAUUGUAUAGAAAUUGUGUCUAUAAAUUGUAAUUUGGUUGACUGAUUGACUGUAUAUGCUACAUUAUGAUUGUAAUGUGUAAAUUUGUAUGUAAGAUGCAUGCUAGUACAUUGCUAAUUUGCUAGUUAAUACUUUUGCUGUUAAUGUUAUAAAUGAAAUAAUGAAUUAUGAAUCGGGUUUGUUACUUUGUAUACUCUCUGUAUAUUUCUCUCUUUCUUAAUUUAUAUGUGAUCAAAUAUAAUCAUUGUUUUAUACUUAUGUUGUAUUGUUGUCUUGCUGAUUUGUUGUUAAUUAAGUGUUUACCUGUAAAGUCAGAAGUGAAAACUGUUGCGAACUUAUGAUUAUGAUGUAAUGUUGUUAACUGUUUGACUGUUUCAGUGUUCUGUCAGUUGUCACUGUUAUGUACUUAUGUUAUAGUGUUAUUUUAUACAAGAUUACAAUUAGAUAUGUUUUGAUAUUUUGAUGUUUUCUAAAUUUUAAUUUCUAUUUUGUUAUACAUAAUGGUUUCGACUUUAGAUGACCUAGGUAGGAGAUAUGGUGCACAAGGUCCAAGUAAUAAAAACAAUUUUGUGUGCUCUUUUUGUGGACAAGUUCUGAAAGGAUGAGUAUAUCGCCUCAAACAACACUUGUUUGGCGGUCAUAAAGAUGCAAAUAAAUGUCCAAAUGUUCCUAUUAUUGUCCAGGUUCAGUAGGGUAGAGUUAGACCAAUUUCAGAGAUUUUGAAGAGGAUAAGGAGAAGAAAGUCGGAGAGAAUCUUGAAGUUGAAAUUAGGCAAGACAAUUGGUGGUGUUGAUGAUCCAGGAAAUUCUAAGGGAAGAACUCUUCUAAUUGAUUGGUGUUGAAUUUGUCUUUGUGUUAUUUGGAUUUAAUUUAUGUGUAUUAGGAUGAUGGUAAAUUUCAUUUGAGUUUAAUGUGUGUGUAUUUGGAUUGUUGUUUGAAUUUAAGGUAAUUGUCUUUGUUACGUACAUGUGAUGUGAAAAAGGUUAUGUUGGUCAUUUUUAUUCCAUGUUGUUGUUAUUGGUAAAUAGAAAAGGGUAAUUUGGUAAAGUUUAGAGUGAAUUUUAAAGUACAUUGUAUUUUGAAAGUAAAGUAAUGACAUAAAAGGGUAUUUUGGUCACUUAUGAAUAUAUAUUGCAUUUUGAAAGUAAAGUCAUGACAUAAAAGGGUAUUUUGGUUACUUAUGAAUGUAUAUUGCAUUUUGAAAGUAAAGUCAUGACAUAAAAGGGUAUUUUGUUCACUUAUGAAUGUAUAUUGCAUUUUUAUGGUAAAGUUGUGACAUAAAAGGGUAUUUUGGUCACUUAUGAAUGUAUAUUGCAUUUUGAAAGUAAAGUCAUGACAUAAAAGGGUAUUUUGGUCACUUAUGAAUGUAUAUUGUAUUUUGAAAGUAAAGUCAUGACAUAAAAGGGUAUUUUGGUCACUUAUGAAUGUAUAUUGCAUUUUGUAAGUAAACUCAUGACAUAAAAGGGUAUUUUGGUCACUUAUGAAUAUAUGUUGCCUUUUUAAGUAAAGUCAUUACAUGAAAGGGUAUUUUGGUCGCUUAUGAAAGUAUGUUGCCUUUUUAAGUAAAUUAAUGACAUGAAAGGAUAUUUUGGUCACUUAUGAAAGUAUGUUGCUUUUUAAGUAAACUCAUGACAUAUGGCUUUGUAUAUUUUUGCAUGGAAAAAUUUGGAAUAAUGUGCAUGCAUGUAAAUGUGUUAUAUGGUCCCAGAUAUGGUUCUACAAUGGGUUGAAAGGUCCCGUUGUUCCAUUAUAAAAACACCUUACUAACUAUUAACUAAAAAUGGUCCCCAUACAUAGUGUAUUUUCACAUGGACCACUUUCUACUUUAUUCUCAAUAUAAUAUCAUGCACAUCAACUAAUUUAGUUAUAUAUAAUAAAAGGAAAACAAGCCAUGCAUGUUUCAAUAACAUAAACAUCUCCAACAUCUUAUUAUAUAAAAUGCCCGACAAUUAGGACUUUCAAUCUGGCUUUACAAUAGUUAUAAAAUGCCCUUUCAUUAGGGAAUUACCAGUUUACAACAUCAACACACCAAGGUUGACACCCCCAAAUUCUAACUAAAAGUUGCUUCCAAACAUACAAAAUGCCAAUCAUUAUUGAGUUUUCUAGUCUGCCUUUACAAAAACAUACAAAAGCUUACAUUAACCACUCUAACUAACUACAAUCACUCCCUAACUUCAAAACAAAAAAAGACCAACCCAAAAAAUAACAUUGCAACUAUCAUCCUGUACCUGCCUAUUGUCUUCCUUGAAUCAGAAACAUCUUUCUCACUCUUUGCCACCUUACACUUCUCAUGUGACAAUAGGAACUCCACUUCAACAAUCAUUGUCUCCAAAUUGUUCAUCUCAGACAGAUCCUCUUUAGCAUCCAGUUUCUGCUUUAUAGAAUAUGAAAGGUUUUUGUAGUACCCUUGUUCAUGUUCAUUGUCUUUCCAAUCAAUUAAAAAAUGAAAAUGUUUUGAUUUAGAUAGUAAAUAAAGAUUAAGGAAAUCAGUUGCGUUUAAUGUACUAACGAAAUGAGUUUGAUUCACGAUCACAAAGAUUCCGCAAGAAGAAAAUAAAAUUACUUUUUUUUCCAAAUGCAAAACUAGCAUGAUAGGCUUUACACGAACAAUCAAACCCUAAAAUACAAAGGUAGCAUGAUUAGGAUUAUUGGGACCUACCAAACUGUUUUGACAAUUCCAGAAACUCGUCUAUUCUAUAUAUUUAUCUCCCACAUCGUCGCCACCGCCGUUGUCAUGUUCUUGGUUCUCCAUCAGAUAAAUGAUCGUCCAUCACACUCACAGGUACUCAGCGCAUUUGUUCUUCUAUUCUCUAUUUUCUGUUGAAUGUUGGGCUGAUUUUUCGGUUUAGAUUUUAUAUUCAACGUCAUUUUUUAAUUUUUAUAUACAGACCCAAAUAAGAUCAUUGCUAUUUUCAUAGGUAGAUUUGUAUUUGAUUUUGUUAUUGUGUUUUUUGGGAUUUAUAUCACAUUACUUAGGCCCAAAAAAUAUUUUGGAAAAGAUAUAGAUAAUAAAUACAAAUUUACAAGACUUGCUAUGUCUUUGAACGGCUAAUUUGGGUCGGUUUAUUUCAAUGCUUUGAUCUUUCAUGGAAAUUGCAUAUUGUAUGUCCCACCCCCACAAAAGCAGAGACCAAUUUGAACCACCCACUUAGAAUGAUUAUCUUCAUAGACCGAGAUUAUAUAAAUGGAAAAUGACUUAAAAGCCCAACGAAGUUUUCAAACCAUUCAAAAAACCCCAGUCAUGUUUUGGUUGUUCAGAAAAACCUAACGAACUUAACAUUUUGUCUAAAAAGUCCAACAAAGUUCCAAACCGUACAAAAAAUCCCAAUUUUGUUUUGUUUAAGUUCGUUGGGUUUUUUUUUGAACAGUUAAAACAUGAUUGGAGUUUUUUAAAUGUUUUGGAAACUUCGUUGGCCUAACAUGUCACUUUUCCGAUACGGUAAUAGGCCACGUCAUCUGUUUCUCGUAUUUGACUUUCAGGAAAGUGUAACUUCGUUGGGCUUUUUAGACAAAAUGUUAAGUUUGUUGGGUUUUUUUAAACAGACAAAACAUGAUUGGGGUUUUUUGAACGGUUUGAAAACUUCGUUGGGCUUUUAAGUCAUUUUCCCUUAUAUAAAUCCUCGGCUUUUAAGUCAUUUUCCCUUAUAUAAAUCCUCACUCAUGAGGGCAGUUCAUAUAUGUAUCAAUACAAACCAAAAUCGCCAAUAUCUUCAUCUACAAUAUGAAUCCUUGUGUUUUUAUAAUUUUCUCACUUCUGUUGCUAACUGCCAGCCAAUUGGAAGGAGAUGAUAGAAAUAUGAAAAAGUGUUUGGAUAAGGAGAGACGCGCUCUCCAUCUUUUCAAAGCUCCCCUUGAUUGCCCCUUUGGUUGUUUCUAUACAUGGACAGCUGAAAUUGAUUGCUGUGCAUAGGGUGGAGUCACAUGUGACAACCAAACAGGUCAUGUCAUAGGGCUUGAUGUCAGUGACUAUUCUCUUGAAGGUAAGUUAAGCCAUUCAUUUCUUAACUUAACCUACUUGAAUCAUCUUCAUCUUUCCAGAAAUUCUCUUCAUGGAACCAUUCCCAGGUCCAUUGGUUCCUUGACUAGAUUAAGCUACCUUAACAUCGGCUUCAAUAAUCUUAAUGGAACCAUUCCUAGGUCCAUUGGUUCCUUGACCAAAUUAAGUUACCUCGACCUUGGCUCCAAUAAUCUUAGUGGAACCUUUCCCACCUUCAUUGGUUCUUUGACUCGAUUAACCUACGUUGACCUUUUCUAUAACUCUCUUUAUGGAACCAUUCCUCAAGAGUUUGGAAACCUCACCAACUUGCAACAUCUUUCCCUUGGACCUGAUGGAGGAUGUAGAGUUGAAAACAUAGAGUGGGUGUCUCAUCUCUCUCAUUUGCAUUACCUCGCAUUGGAUGGGAUUUCCCUAGCCAAACAAAAUCACUGGGUAGAUGUUAUUCUGAGCCUCCCGAAACUCUCAUAUUUAUCUUUAGAUGGAUGUGAGCUAUCACAGAUCAUGUAUCCAUAUUCUUCAUUAAUUCUCAACUCUUCUUCCUCUAUUGUUGAACUUCGACUUGGAAACAACAAUCUGACCUCAUCCAUGUAUCGUUGGUUGCUCCCAUUUACCAGCAAUAGCCUUGUUCAUCUUGAUCUCUCUGGAAACAUGUUAGAUGGGAUACCCAAAUAUCUUGGUAACCUCUGUACUCUGGAAACUUUAUACUUCUCUUACAACUCUGCUGUUGUCAAAUUUUCUGAUUUUCUCAACAACCUGUCUGGAUGCACAUCCCUUUCAUUACAAUACUUGGUGGCUUCUUAUAGCCAAUUUACAGGGCCAUUGUCUGGUGACAUCCAAAACUUUUCAUCCUUAGCACGGUUGGACAUAUCUGAUAAUCACUUAAAUGGAAGUAUAAGUGAGAAACUGUGGGAACUACCCUGGCUCCAAACCCUUGACCUUUCUUUUAAUAAUCUUAGAGUUCCUUCCACAUAUCACUUGUCAAACAUCUCUUAUGUUAAAUAUCUUGAUCUGAGCUCUUGCAAGCUGCUAGGGCCUCGCUUCCCCAAAUGGAUUCACACAUUCAAAAAUCUUUACCAUCUUGAUCUUUCUAAUACUGGAAUUUCAGACACAAUUCCUUUGGAGUUUUGGGACGUGUGGCCUUAUCCUUUAACAUAUCUGAAUCUCUCUUCCAACAAUAUUAGUAGGAAAGUGCCAGAUUUAUUUUUAAUCUUUGACGCAUAUUCAGUGAUAGAUUUGAGUUCCAACAGCUUUUAUGGUCCAAUACCUAAAUUCUCUUUCGAAAUGGAAUCAAUAAAUCUUUCCAGAAACAAAUUCUCUGGAGGAAUCUCUUUCAUAUGCCAAGCUGUUUAUGGAUUCUUAUUAUUUCUUGACCUCUCUCAUAACUCAUUAAGUGGACAACUCCCAGACUGUUUGUGGAAUUUCGAUUCCCUAACAGUUCUUAAUCUGGGGCACAACAAUUUCUUUGGUAGGCUUCCUCCCUCUAUUGGAUCUAUGAUAGAACUCCAGGUGUUGUAUUUAUACGAUAACAACUUCUCUGGAGAAUUGCCUUUCUCUUUAAAAAAUUGCAAGAGUUUAAUCUCGUUGGAUUUGGGGGCCAACAAGUUUUCUGAUAACGUGCCUGUCUGGAUUGGGGAAAACUUAUCAGGGUUGAAUGUUCUUAUCCUAAGAUCAAACAAAUUCUUUGGAACCAUCCCUUUACAGUUAUGUCAGUUACCUAAUCUUCAAAUUCUAGACCUGUCAAUGAACAGUCUCCAUGGAACCAUCCCUUCAUGUUUGAGUAAUCUUACAAACAUGGUUCAACAAGGAGGAUUCUCACAAGAUGUAUUGUUUUAUGAAAGAAUAAGAGGUUAUGCAACUAGAGCGGGGAUAUAUGUCGACCAUGCACUGAUCGAGUGGCAAGGAGUUGAACGUGAAUUCUUUAGCACUCUGAAAUUGUUGAAGGCCAUUGACCUGUCAAGCAACAAUUUAACAGGACAAAUCCCAUAUCAAAUUACCAAUCUUUCUGACUUGGUUUCCCUGAAUCUGUCAAAGAACGCUCUAUCCGGAGAGAUCCCACAGAAAAUUGGUGAGAUGAAAAAGCUUUUGACUUUGGAUUUAUCCAGAAACAAUUUCUCAGGGCAGAUACCAUCAAGCAUGUCUCAGAUGAGUUUACUGAAUUACCUAGACUUGUCAUUUAAUAACUUGUCAGGGAGAAUCCCAACAAACACUCAGCUCCAGUCCUUUCAACCUUCAAGAUAUGUUGGAAACAAAGGACUAUGUGGACCUCCCCUUACCAAAAAGUGUCCUGGAGAUGAAGAACCAGUAGCAACAUCGGUGAUUGGUAAAAAUGAUGGUGAUGGGGAAGACACAGAUGAUGAACUUGAGAAAUGGUUUUAUAUUGGUGGGGGCAUGGGUUUUGCCACUGGAUUUUGGAUGGCAUGUGGGGCUUUACUUCUCAACCGCCGUGGGAGACAUGCAUUUUUUCAGUUUUAUGAUAGCUUCAAAGAUUGGGUUUAUGUGUUCAUUGCAAGCUUGAAGAUGGCUAGACAUACGUAGUUUGUUAUCUAAUUUCUAUUUUAACUUCUUAUUUCUCGGUAUAGAAUGUAAUUUGGCUGUGGUUUUUAAAUCCCGAAUAACAAUAAAGUUGCGACUAACACAUGGGUGGACACCAUGGGUGGCCAAUUUCCCCGUGUUGUUUGAAAAUUAUAUUUGUACAAAAACCGGUUUGGAAAACUAUUAUUUAGUAAUUAAUCAGCCUAGUGGCUUGGACGGGAAGACUUCUUGAAGUUUUUUGGUUUUUACAAUUGAUUCAAUAGAAAUUCAUCCUCUCUCAUUAUCCUCCACGUUUCCAUUUAUUGCCUAGUAUUCUUAUCAGUUAUACUCUGAACAAAGAAAAGUCAUUUUAGUUGGAACAAGGACAAAAAAACACAUUACAAAAACCUCAAAUAAGGACCAAAAUUAUUGCAGAAAACCUUUUGGGGCCAAAAUUAGAAAAUAUCAGGUAUAUUCAAGGACUGAAAAUGUAAAUAACUCUUUAACAUUUAUUAGAAAAUUAUUACUCUUAGUUUUGCCGACCCUUGUUAAAAUCAUGGUAUUUAGAUUGGUAAAUUUUUGUUUCUCCUGGUACCGUGACAUGGAUUUUCCUACGGUACCUAUAAAUUUUAUAUAAAGUAAAUAUUUUAAAUCUAAUUAAGAUGCUUUGUUAUUGAUAAACUUUUGUACUACCAUUGCAGCAUUGUCAAAAUUGUUCUUAACAUGUGAAUAUGCAAGACAUGGGUCUGUCACCUAACAAGUCAAAAAGUCAAAAAGUCAAAAGAUGGUUAGAAUGGCAAUAUUGUAAAUUGAUGAAAUGAGGACUAAUCAUUUUACUUGUUGUAAAUCCAAUGUCAUCAUAAUCCAAACCUAGUAGAAGACUUGGAUAUAGUCUUUGUUGAAUCUUUGUAUGUGAAAUCCAAAGAGACGAUCCCUUAAGCUAAGAAGAUAUGUAUAGUUAUUUUACAUUGGACAAGGAGCAAAUCACAUGACCAUUAUUUCAGUUUACUCCUAAAGAAAUUAUUAACAACCUUAAGCUUUUAGAUAAAAUGAUUUAGAAGGUCGUAAUACAUUUUUAUGAGCUAUAAAAGAUGUUACUUGGGCUUAACAAACUCUUUUAUAAAGUUUUUUAGAGCACAUCAAUGUAAGAGCGAAUUUCAGGAAUUAAGAGAAAUAAAAUAUAAUAAUAAAAAUCAAGACUGUGAAAUGGUAUUGCUACUCUUUAGUAGUAAUAAUAACAAUAACAAUAACAAUAACAAUAAUUUAUAUCAUAUAACAUCCGAAUCCAGGUAAUUUUUUUAAGUACUUGAUAUAAAUUAAAUUGGCAAAGAAGACCCUUAGUACGCUAGGCAUACGUGUAUGUAAGCUUAGCGUAUAUAGGCGCAUUGAUCAGGCAGCUGCGAGCAUGUACGUGGGGCGUACAUGGACAAAAAGCUGAAACCCUAAUUCUCGUUUUUGAGCCCUAUUUAAGCUCAUUUAUGACCUUUGGACCUCAUUCUUAACAGCCUCCACUGCAUUUAAAUGUCCCUAAAAACCCUAUUUGCCAUUAGAGGUGAUCUUUGAGCUUAAAGUCACAUUAAUAGCCGUUUUUGGUGUGUUUCCAAGAAGAAGUUGUGAGCAAGCCUUGGACGUGGUUGAGCUUCAAGAUCCUGAAUCUACAUCAUCUUGAGAAGCUUUUGGAGGUAAAAGUUCAUACCUUGUUGAUCCUUUUGCUAGUUUGAGUUAGGGUUUGGUUAUAAGUUCAUUUUUGGCCCAUGGAUCCUUUUUUGUGAGUUUGGGCAACUCCAGAGGUUAGAAAUGCUAAAUCUUAGUCCCUUUGGCAUGUUAGAAGCAUAAAAAUGCUAUCUUGAUGGUUGUUAUGGCACCAUGCAUGGGCUUAGGUCGUUAAAGUGAGUCUUAAUGGACAAAAUGGGAUGUUGGGCUCCCAUAAGGCAUGCAAAGGCAUAAAGUUGCUAACUUUAUGCCUUAGGACCCCUUAAAUGACCAAGACAUGGAAUUUGACGAAGUGGCUGGAUGUAAUAAGCACUUAAUGGCUAAAUAUGCUUAACAGCUUAGUAUGUUGGGCGUACUAAGAUGUAUGAUGCAUGUACUGCCUGAAGAUCAAGUACGCUAAGCGUACUGAGAAUGUACGUUGCGUGUACGCCCAGUGGGCUGUUGGACAUGUUUUGGACUUUUGGGCCUUAACUAGUUUUGGGCCUUGGCCUGUUUAUAAUAAGUGGGCUUAGUUUUCUGUUGUGGGCCUUGUGUGUCAUGGUUUGGGCCUUUUAUGCCAAGGGGCCCGUUAUUAUAGAUGGACCGAAUAUGGUUAGGUCCAUUAUGGGAUAGACGAAAUAGGCCAUAGUGUAACUUUCGAUAUUUUCUAAGGUAUUUAUUUAAUAUUGGUUAUUUAAUUAUUAAGAGUCAAGCCUUGGACGUUUUCAUUUGGGGCUUAGUGUGUGCAGUAUGCGGGGCGUACCACCCUGUGUACGUUGGGCAUACUAAUGUGGACUGAUUGCGAGUGCCAUUCACGUACACGCUGCGUACAAAGGAGUACGCGCAGCGUACGUGUCCAGAUCCCAAAACCCUAAUAUUUAGGGUUUGAGCACUAUUUAAAGAACAUUAUGCCCUACAGAUCUUCUUUAUCAGCCUCCCUUUUGUCCCUUAACAGCCUCUAUGAAACCCUAACCCCAUUGUUGAGUGUUCUUGAGCUUGGAAGGUCUUUUGAGUGCAUUUUGGUAUGUUUUGUCUCAUUUUCAAGGAAGAGAAGGUUGGAGUAAGGUGGUGGUUCAAGGAGAAGCUUGUAGAUCCGAAUUAUUUGCUCCGAUCCAUUUCUAGCUUGUGCAAUAUAUAAAGUAUUGAUCUUGAUCUUUAGAAGCUUAGAUCUCCAUGUUUUAGCUUUUGGUCCCAUAGAUGAGCUCUUGUGGAUUAUUUUCGUUUCUGAAGCUUAGAGUUGCUACUCUUGGUGUUCUUUGGGUCCUAGAGUCAUAAAGUUGCCACCUUUGAAGCUUUAAUCCAACCAUGCAUGAGUAAUGACCAUUUUUAUGGAAGUGGAAUGUUAUAUUUUGAGUUUGGGCCUAUUUGGGGCAUGUAAAGCCACCAAGUUGUCAACUUUAUGGGCUAAGAUGUAACACCCCAUUUAAUCAAUAAACAAAUAAACUAAUUAAUAGAUGUAAUUUCCGGACAGAAUUGUGAAGAAUUUUAACAGUUGAGGAGUGUUUAGUAAAUUACGGAGUUGAUUGAGAAGAAUCUUAGAAGCAAGGGUAUGUUUGGUAAUUAUUAGGACUUAUUAUGAAAGAGAAUUAUGGAAUCAAGGGAAAAAGGAUAAAUAUUGGAUUUAGUUUGUAAAGGAUUUUAAUGUCAAGUGCUAAAAGGGUAAAAUUAGGACCCACUUUGAAAGAAAAGGGGAGGGGAGGGGCCAAAGGUGGCAUUAUGGAAGAAAGAUUCAAGGGGUGUCGGGUAUAUAAUAUUACCCGCCACCCCUUUCUUCACAUCCGGUCGCCGCCAUCACCAUAGAAGCCCUGUUCCAGCCGCCGCCUCCAUUGUCGACGAUGACAAACUCGACUACCGCCACUCCAAGCAAUUGAGGUGCGAAACUGCAGCCUCCGUUUCUCCGACCUCCCUUCGCCAUCAUCUUCCCAACAGGCGUUAUAGUCGCCGCCACUCCAAGCAAUUGAGGUGUGAUGCUGCAGCCUCUCCGACUACCACGUGCCACCGCAAGGGUGGUGGUGUUUAGAUGUAUUUCCGGUGCGAACUAGCGUAUGUUGACGUUUUUCGGAGCAACAAACCAAAAGAAAGCAUCGCCACCACAGUGUGGUGGUGGCUGACGACGCAACCUGCCGCUUUUCCAGGGUUCUGUCACCGCCAUGUACGCCGCCAGGUGGUGGUUGUGUUGCUAUUUCGAGCAUAGUAGUGGGUGUGUAUUAUUUCAGUGAUGUAUGAUUGGGUUUGUUGGCCGGAUAUAUCAAGAAAGCAACCGCCACCAGUGUGAGAUGGUGGCUUCCACCACGAGCCACCGCCGGCCACCACUAGGGUGGUUGUGUCUGUGUGUGUUAGAGUAGUUAGUGCGUGUGUUUAUUUGUGGAUUAAAAGCUUGUAAUUGUAAUUAGCAAAUGAGUAAUGAAAAGAACCAUAACCACAACCGUAGGGUGGGCGCCGUGAGCCGCCAUUGACCACCACUACCCGAGGUGGUAGUGGGUGGUUCCCCACUAGCAAAACCCUAAUGUGCUUAAAGAUUAUUUGGGUGGAAACCCUAAUUUCACUUGGCCUUAUGUUGGGCCUUUCUGUUGGGCUUUGGUGUUUGAGCUUAUAAUGGGCCAUCCAAGAUCAAUCAUUGGACUGAAAUAUUUAGAUGGGCUUUAGGGUAAGGCCCAUAUGAGGGUGUAGGCCCAAUUUAGAAAAUUGGGCCAUAGAUGGGCCAUAGUUUGGGCCUUAAUGGUUAUAUGAUAUUGGGCCAUUAGAAAUAUCAAAUGUUGGGACUGGACUAAGUAGUUGGGCCUUUAAUUAUGACCAUGUAAAGGUUUGGGCCCAAUUUGGAAAAUUGGGCCAUAUGUUGGGCUUUGACUCAUAGUUGACUGUUAAGCCUUUGGAUUGGUCCUUGGGAUUGGAUCAAGCUAAGAUUGGGGUAAAGCAGUCUUUUACCCCAAGCAUGGACUUAUGAGUAUAUGUGAUGGAACCUUAUUAUUAAUUGGGUGUUAUUUUGAUGUUGACAGAUUCAGGAAUCUGUUAUCCAUCAGCUAGGGUUUUGUCAGCGGGACUUCAGCAGUGUGAGGUGAGUUUUCCUUCAGUAGGAACGGGUCUAAGGCACCAAUGUCGACUCGUUUAAGUAGUAGAGUAUGUCGGGGUUUAGCCCGAUGCAUUUUAUAUGUUUCCGAACUUCGGUCCGAUGUCAGGGCUGUCCCGAAAAGUAGUUAAGUAUGCGUGAUGUCUUUGUGAUUCAUGCAUGUUAUAUGAUAUGUGUUAAGUGUUCCGGGCUUCGGUCCGAUGUCGGGGCAAGCCCAAUGUAUGUUAGUUACAUGUUAUAUGUUAUGUGUUCCGGGGUAAGCCUGAUGUUGGGGCAAGCCCGAUGUAUGUUAGAUAUUAUACUAUGUAUUAUGUGUUCCGGGGCAAGCACGAUGCAGAUUAUGUGAUUAUGUUGUAUGUUAUAUGUUCCGGGCUUCGGUCCGAUGUCGGGCAAGCCCGAUGCAGAUUAUGUGAUUAUGUUAUGUGUUUAUGAUAUAUGUUAUGUUGUGUAUGUGUCGGGGUAAGCCCGACGCCGGGGUGAGCCCGAUGCCCGAUGCGGUCGAAUGCCGGGGUGAGCCCGAUGCCGGACAGGAGUCUGAUGCCGGGUAAGCCGAUGUCGGGAUUCGUCUCGAUGCAGCUGGGAGUAGUCCCAGAGUUAUGUUAUUUGUUAUAUGUGCUUGUAUGGUAUGUGGUGGUUUAGGGAGCUCACUAAGUUUCAUGUUUACAGUUUCAGUUUUGGUUUCAAGUACUUCAGCUAGCAAAGGAGAGGGCUCGAGUUGAUGGCAUGGCACACACCACAGUUUAUUAGCCUGGGAGCUUACUCUGAUAUUUUAUAUGAGACUGUUAUAUGUUGACAGAUUUUAUGAGAUUUUGAGAUACAUGAUUGAUGAUUUUAUUUUAUGGUGGCAAUAUUAUGUUUGUUAAAUGAUUUUAAAAACGAAAAUUUUGGCUUGUAUUUUUGGGAUGUUACAAGUUGGUAUCAGAGCCUUGGUUUGAAGGAUUCGGGCACACUUUCGGGCGUGUAUGAACUCAAACUAAGGAAUUGGUAUAGAAAUUUUCAAAAGGAAAAUCAAUUUUUGCAAAACAAAAUAGUUUUAGAAAAAGGGAAAAGAAUUUUUUUAGUAAGAAAAGAACUUUGAAAAGAGAAAAGGGUGUAGUGAAUGCAAUCAGUCGAGCUCAAGUGAGUACUCCCAAAUUACCCAUACAAGUUUAUGCUAUGUUUAUGAUUAUCAACUUUAUUUAUACAUCAUGCUAGAUUAGGACUAAGGAUCUAGGAAGGAUGCCUUAUGUUCCUAUUAUGUGUUUCAACUUUUUGAGAACUGCAUGCUAGUACAGAUUAGUCAGGAUGAUAGCCUGAGUAGUAUAUGCUUGAUUAUGUAUACUCAAUGUCCGAAUGCUGCUUGCUUUGUGCUUUUAGGAGUUCUAGUUGUCUUUCACUAACUAGUAAAAAAAAUGUUAAGUUACAUAUUGCAAGGACUAAAUAAUUUCCAGAAGGUUAGGUCUAGCUCUAUUUCGCAACUCUUGUUUGAGUCCAACCGUUGUAGGGUAGGAUCUCUCAUUCAAAGAAUUAUCUAGUCUGGGUAAUAUGUAAUAGUAUUUGCGAGUUAGUUAGGGGGAGGUAGUAGGACUUCUUAUGCAACUGAUGGCGGAGAGUGGGUUGGUGAUUACCCUAGGGAAAACCUAGGAAGAGUUUAGUAUGAGAUCAGCAGUAGUAGUAGAAGGGACUUGGUGGAGUCGAGGCAGUUCUUGAGAAAAGUACGGAUAUAUGUGGAUGGUAGUAUGGGCCCGUAGAAAGCAGAGCACCCGUACUCGAAUCAAGGAAGGCUGAGAUGAACCCAUGGACCUUGUAGUGUGUGAGAUCCCUCGAGUUAUGAUGAGUACUAUGAAGAUUGUGCUGGUAUGUUUUCGAGUAUAGUGACGUUACGUGAUAGACCAGAUGGCAGUUCUGGUGCCGACGAGGGAUCAUGCUCAGACUCUGGAGUUGGGCAGCUUGAUGGUCAUAUGAGGGAGUUUAUUCCAUCUGAGGGUACACGCAAUAUCAUUAACCAAACUCCUGUGAUCUUCAAUAUGAUCAAAAGAGGGUAUUUUAGAGAUUUGUGAUGAGAGGCUGAGUGCAUUCUACACAGAGAUAGCAACCAUGAUAGGGACGCGUGCGUUUGUGAUUUAGGAAGUUCAGAGCUUGUGAAGCUCUAGACUAUCAUGGGGCUAGGGACCCUAUUGCUAGCACCAGGUGAUUGGUAGAUAUCACCAAUAUUUUCGUACCGGCCAUAGUCUGGAAAGGAGACAAGGACCGACUUGCCUCCUGCCUCCUGAAGGACAGGUCAUGUGAUUGAUGGAAGAAGUUGGUAGAAGGUUGAGUGAUGAUGUGAUCGAUGCUAUGUCAUUGGAUGACUUUUAGAUCAUACUCUGGACAGAGCGUGUCCAGGCCAUUAAGGUGCAAUAGUUGCCGCGAGAGUUGUUAGAUCUCCACCAGACGACGGAGACUGUGGCAGAGAUCACUUCCAAGUCUCGGGAGACAGCUUAGUUCGAACCACAGUAGGUUAGAAGAGGAGGAAAUGAAGAAGGUAAGAUAUCAGGACAUACUGCAGAAUGAUAGCAGAGAGAUCGUGAGUUUCUCAGGGUGUGAGACCCUAAGUGAUAUGACUUCUAGAGCCCGAGAACGGUAAAUUGACUUGGAGCACAUUAGGAAGAGGGAACCAUAUCAGUUGCUUAUACUAAAGGGUCUCGGAAGGAGAACCAAGAUUUAGGAUUAGCUUUCGAGAGACCAGCAGGACCAGAUUCGGUGUAGCACUUGCGGGAAACUGCACAAGGGGGCCUUUCGUUCCAAGGGUUUGAGUAAGUGUGACUUUGGGUUAUCCUCUGUCUAUGUUUGAAUUAUACUUCCAAGAAAUGGCAUAUGCCAAUUGCAUACCGAGAAUUAUUAGCGGAUAGCAAAAGAUCAUUUCCCAAAUUGCAGGAUUGGGGGAGUACAACGUCAUCUUGGUUUAUUCCAAGACUGAGGAGCAGCACGAGGAGCACCUGAGGGAGGUGCUAGAGACUUUGAGGAGGGAGAGACUUUUUGCAUGGUACUCCAAAUGUGUGUACUGGUUGCGCGAGCUGCAAUUUCUUGGGCACCUUGUCAAUCAGGAGGGUAUUCUAGUUGAACCGGCCAAGAUAGAGGUCGUGAUGCAGUGGGAGAAUUUGAGGUCUCUAAUUGAGAUUCGGAGCUUCGUGGGUCUAGCGGGUUAUUACCAUAGAUUUAGUCGGGACUUUUCCAAGAUUGCAGUUCUUUUGACCCGACUGACCAAGAAGUCGGUGGCCUUUUGCUAGGGGCCUGAGCAACAUACAACUUUCGAGACUCCCAGACGGUUAAGUGUUUCAGGAAGUUUAGUGCUUCAGACAUUUUCAGUGUCUCAACCAGCAAUGGCAUUUUGGAUAAGUUUCGCAUCCUUGUCAGGAAGAAGACAGCCCAAGCGGCUGUAUGGUUUGAGGAUAGUGUGAGAUGGAAGUUCGGGAAAAAACUUGCCAAUAAGGAGAUCGCGUUCCCGUAAUAUUUACCAGCAAGCCUUAGGGAAUCAAGUUGGGGAUUCCAGUCAGGACAUGAGUUCAGUUGAGUGCGGGUCAAGCGCAUGUUCGAUCUAGUAUGGAAGGUGUUGUAAGUCUGUUGGUGUAGCCGUAGCAUUCACUAGCAGCCAGAUAGUGUUAGAGUGUUGUAAGUCUGCGGGUGUAGCUGUAGCAUUCACUAGCAGCCAUAUAGUAUUAGAGUGUUGUAAGUCUGUGGGUGUAGCUGUAGCAUUCACUAGCAGCCAGAUAGUGUUAAAGUGUUGUAAUUCUACGGGUGUAGCCGUAACAUUCACUAGCAGCCAGAUAGUGUUAGAGUGUUGUAAGUCUGCGGGUGUAGCCGUAGCAUUCACUAGGUUGGUAGAUAGCGUGAGUGCUUUGUUAGGACUCGGAAAUAACAGUAGUACCCACCAGUUCAGGUGUAGUAGUGAGGAUAUGGAAAUCCACGAUUUGGAUUUCGGAAUUACCAGAUGGUUUAGAUUUGGUUGAGCCGGUGAUAAGACUGUAGGAGCGCCACUAGACUUAUGGAAUCACGGAAGCAAUGGACCGAAUCAGAUUGCUUGUGAUAUCAAGCUACCAUUAGUCAGGUAGCAGUCAUUUUUAGCCUUGGAUUUGGAGGAUGCUAGCAUCCGACGUAUGGACUCGACCAGUUAGAUCAUAAACUUAUUAAAGCCUCAGUGGCGUGAUAACUAGUUCCAGAGGAGGAUUUCGUUUUGAAGUCGUGUGAGGCGACUAAGUGGGAGUCUUUUGACGCCGUAGCCAGGCUAGAACCCGGUAUUUCAGAUGAAUGAUGGAUGAAUUGAGACCGGGAAAGUCUCGAUAGAUUUUGGGAAAGCAGUCAUGUAGUAGCAUGUUGUUUCAGGCAGUUUCAGUGAUUGAGCAGUGUUAGUAUUUGUGUAGGUUGCAAGCACGGGCAAAAUAGCUGGUUGACUGGGAAGUGACAAGUCACUCACAGCGAGAUUUGUUGAGCCUUGGCCAAGUAUAAGUGAUCUGUAGGGAUAUUGGGCAUGUGAUCCUAUUUUAUGGUGGGAGACUUCGAGCUAUUAGAAAUUGAGCAGCCAGUUAAGAGAUAAGCAGGCUGGUUUCAUCGAUAAUGAUUCAGUAUGAGUGGUCUGUCAUGGAACCAGACCAUCUCAAGACAACAUAUUUCAGACAAAGUAGAUGUGGACUUGUUGCGAGGAAUUCGUUCACCAGUAGAAUUUAAGGCUUUGCAAAAAUUGGUCAUGGCUACCUUGAGAAGGCUAAGGUGUGCCCAGGAUUGUGGUCAGGUUCCUUGAGUGGGUUGGCAUGUAAGAAUGAUAACGGUUGAUUUCGAGGACGAAAUCUAAUUUAAGUGAGGGAGAGUUGUAACACCCCGUUUAAUCAAUAAACAAAUAAAUUAAUUAAUAAAUGUAAUUCCCGGACUGAAUUGUGAAGAAUUUUGAUAAUUGAUGGUUGUUUAGUAAAUUACGGAGUUGAUUGAGAAGAAUCUUAGAAGCAGGGGUAUGUUUGGUAAUUAUUAGGACUUAUUAUGAAAGAGAAUUAUGGAAUCAAGGGAAAAAGGAUAAAUAUUGGAUUUAAUUUGUAAAGGAUUUCAAUGUCAAGGGCUGAAAGGGUAAAAUUAGAACCCACUUUGAAAGAAAAAAGGAGGGAAGGGGCCAAAGGUGGCAUUAUGGAAGAAAGAUUCAAGGGGUGUCGGGUAUAUAAUAUUACCCUCAACCCUAACCCUAGGAGCAUAGCAGUCACAACCUCAUCUCCGAUUGGUGCCACCCCUUUCUUCACAUUCGGUCGCCGCCAUCACCAUAGAAGCCCUGUUCCAGCCGCCGCCUCCAUUGAUGACGAUGACAAACUCGACUGCCGCUGCUACUUUUGUGGUAUGAGGAAGCAACUCCCACCACUGGGUGCGAGCAUCCCAGUCGCCAUCACCAUUGUUGCGUUUUUCCGAUGGGUCGAGCCACCAAGCGUGGCAGCCUCUAUCCCCGUACGAGAGCAGUCAAUAGUGUGACUGUUGGGUCUACGUGCGUUGCCGUUUCUCCGACCUCCCUUCGCCAUCUUCUGCCCAGCAGGCGUUAUGAUCGCCGCCACUCCAAGCAGUUAAGGUGUGAUGAUGUUGUCGCUCCGACUACCAGGUGCCACCGCAAGGGUGGUGGUGUUUAGAUGUAUUUCCGGUUUGAACUAGCCUAUUUUGACGUUUUUUAAAGUAGCGAACCAAAAGAAAGCAUCGCCACCACAGUGUGGUGGUGGCUGACAACGCAACCUGCCGCUGCCGCCUUUCCAGGGUUCUGUCGCCGCCAUGUACGUGCCAGGUGGUGGUUGUGUUGCUAUUCCGAGCAUAAUAGUGGGUGUGUAUUAUUUCAGUGAUAUAUGAUUGGGUUUGUUGGCCGGAUGGAUCAAGAAAAGUGGUCGCGCGCUUCCAUUUCGCAUGCAUGGUCCUCCAUGCCAACUUUUUAAGGGACCAUUUAUGCCAAUAACUUCCAACUGUAGACGAGUUGGAGAGCCCCAACUCGACGAGUUGACGCUGCGAAAUGAAAACCCUAAUCUUCGGACAUUUCACCCUAUAUAAAGAACAUUAACUUCUAGGACUGGCCUCCUUGCCUAGAGAAAACCCUAGACUCGCCUUCCUCCUUGUUCAUUGAGUUUUGUUAGUGUUCGAGUGAUUGUUUGAAAUCUUUGAAUGAGGUUUUGAAGAGAGAAGUAUCAAGCUUGGAGGAGUGAACUUGGAUCCAGAAACUCUACAUCAAGGGCUACAUCUUUGAGGUAUAAAGUCAUAACCUUGACAUGUAGCUUAUUAGAUCUCAUCUUUUGAAUUUUAAGCAUGAUUUUGGGAUCUUGGGUUGAAUUGUCCAAAAGAAAAAGAUUCCAGGGGUUGUCAAGCUAGAUCUGACCCCUCCAUGGUAUCCUGAGGCUUAAAGUUGCAAACUUUAAUGGCCUCCAUGUCCCUUUCAUGCAAUAUGUUCAUUAGAAAGCCCAAUAUGGACCCUAGAGAGUGUUAAAAGUAUGCAUGGGCGUAAAGAUAGAAAAUUUACAAGAUUUCCCGCCUUUGGACAUCAGAUCUGUGUUUUGGGAUGUUGAGAUGAGAGUUUAAGGGCUUAAUGGGUCAAGACCUUCCUUAAAGGAACUAGGGUUUGGGUUUAGAGCCUAUUGGGUGAAUCUUGGGGUAAAGUUGGAAACUUUACCCUUCUAGACAUUUCUAGGAAUGGAGAUCUGAAGUUUGGAACCAUUGGAUUCGAGAAAAAGGGCUUAAUGCAUUAAGUGAGUUGACAGACUGAAGAACUCGACGAGUUCACAAGGGAACUCGGCGAGUUGGGUUAGGUUUACCUCGAUUUUGUUGGAAAACGGAGGAACUCGACGAGUUAUAGGAGAACUCGAUGAGUUGGAUCGCAAUAUCGUGAUUCUGGCUUUGGGAUGGACUCGACGAGUUACAGAGGUUACUAGACGAGUUAGGUCAACUCGGAGUGUUGACUUUGACCUUGACCAGGGUUGACUUCUAAGGGGUUUGAAGGGUUGAGUUUUAUCUAAGGAAUUGUUUAUGAUUAGGGAGGUGGCAGAGCUGACACUCGGAGUUUGGACCUACUUAGUUACAGUUUGCAUUUGAGGUGAGUCUCUUCACCAUACCAAUGGGUCGAAGGCACUAAGGUCGGCCCAUUAUGUGUUAUGUGGUAUGCUAGUUGGUUAUGUGGUAGGUAGUAUGCUAGUUGUCUUGGUGAUACUUGCAUGGAAGACCUCGGGGGGGGGNNNNNNNNNNNNNNNNNNNNNNNNNNNNNNNGGGGGGGUUCCCAAGGCAAUUGGAUAUAAGACCAUGUAGGGGUUCCCAUGACAUUCCAGGCUAAGACCAUGUGGGGGUUCCCAUGACAAUUCCAGGCUAAGACCAUGUGGGGGUUCCCAUGGCAGUUAGUUAAGACCAUGUGGGGGUUCCCAUGGCAGUGGGCUAAAACCAUGUGGAGGUUCCCAUGACACCCGGUAUAAGACCUUGGAGGGUUUCCAGGCAUCCUUAUAUGUUUGUAUGCAUGGCUUGUAUGGUUGAUAUGGUUUAUGUGAUUAUGUGAAUUGUGUGGGGUAUGUUAUGGGGAACGCACUAAGCAUUACCUUACAGUUUGUUGGUUGUUUCAGGUACUUCAGGAUCUAAGGACAAGAGCCUAGCGUGAUGGCGCGGCAUGCACUCUCUGGCGUUUUAUUGGGGACACUCUGAUAUUUUGAAUAAUUUAUCUGAUGUUAUGGAUAUUGAAAACAAAUGUGAUUGGAAUUUUAUGUUUUAUGAAGAUGAUUCCAUUAUUUAAAUGAAAAUUUUUAUUGGAAAUUUUAGGCUGUUACAAGGCCAACAUACCCAGGUGGGCUAGCGGUGUGAUGUAGGCUAGUGGUGGAUCAACAGAAAGUUGAGAGGGAGCAGUCCAUGUGCACUAUAGGCCUUGCGAGGCGGGCUAAUCCAACUGUAGACUCGAGGGAAAUCCAGUCUUAUGUUUUGGGCCCGAUAUGCAUGUAUUGUAUGUAUAUUGUGAUGUGUGGUAUUUUGGGGGAACUCGCUAAACUUUGGCUUACAGUUGUGGAUUUAAUGUGUUUCAGGUACCAAUAGUGAUCAUAGGAAGGUGAAGGCAUGAUUGUACACAUUCAUUAGCAACCGUGGAUAUUUUGUGUCUACUAUAAUAUUCUGAUUUUGGCAAAUGUAUCUUGGAACAAAUGGUCUUUUUUAAAAGGGAUUUUAUAAAUGUGAAGUUUUACCUUUGAGGUCUAGUUCAACUGGAAGGAGACACGCCUCACUUUUCCCCUCCCAAGGGUUUCUGGGGGAAUGAUGUCGAGUUCUAUCCGUGUCCAAAACAGUGAAACCCCUUAAUAGGAAACUAGUUUGCUAAGGAUGAUGUUGUUAUCUCUCCAGAGAGCGAUUGAACCAAGGUUCGUUGGGUGUUACGGCAUAUUGUCCUAUCGGAUGUCAUUGCCCGCUACACGGAACCACCCUUCAAUAUAUAUAUAUAUAUAUAUAUAUAUAUAUAUAUAUAUACACACACACACACACACACACAGAGAGAGAGAGAGAGAGAGAGAGAGAGAGAGANUAUAUAUAUGAAAAUUUUAUUGUGAAAAAUAAGACAUUACAAACUUACAGUAUAUAUGGUUUUCAUUAAGAGGAAAAAGCACCAUUAUACCAUCAUGUGAGAGACAUUUUCCUGGGUAAAAUUUAAAUCUAACGGAAAUGGAUGGAAGGACUAUCAGUGUAAGUAAUUACACCCUUUAUAUUAAAAUGAUGAGAAAAAACAAAUUGAACUUGGAGUGCAAUUGUGGAACAAACAUAGGGAAUUUUAUACAAUGGGAUAGUACUUUUAAAAAAUAUUUACCAUAUUUUGGAAUUUAAUUACCAAAAGAUAGUAUGUACAUUUGAUUUUUAUGAUUAUCUUUAUUCUCAGCAGCACCCAUUCAAACCACAUCACAAAAACACUCCAAGCUCUUGCUCAUCCAUUUCCGACGACUGCAUAAUCUCAUGCCACCUUCAUCUCCCUCCUAAGAACCUUCCAUUUUAAGGGAAAUUUUUUCCUUUUCCAGCCAAUCCAAUAUAAUCCAUAAAGUACCGGUGACAUUACUUGAGAGCCAUAUAUGGAUUAAUCUUGAAAAUUAGUAUGUACAUUUGAUUUAAUAUAAGCUUCAUAACCUUUUACACCCAGAUGAACAGAAGGAAUGCAUGUAAAAUUCCGUUGUUGGCACCAGAAAUCGUGUUUCAUGGACUCAUGGAUGAAGAUUAUAAUGUCUAGUAAAUCAUAUCGACUCUUUAAAACCUAAAAAUAAUACAAUUCCAGGUGAGACUAACUUCAGAAAACAAAGAUAUUGAAUUGGAUUCCGUUAAACAUUGAAUCCAACAAAUGAUUGUCAAUGGAAUAACAUUACCAAUAGAUCUCUGAUACUCCUACCAGGAAGUUCUAGGUUAAAUCAGAGUUUUAAGGGAUUUGAAUGUACAAAAGCAUCAAGGAAUGGUACUGAGCAACUUGUUGUAGGGGAGGUCGAUAUGCAAAAGGCUUUCAUUACACGCGACGGAAUAUCAAAUAGGAAUUCAGAUCUUCAGAGGAGAUAUCGAGAAAUUAAAUUGGUGAUCGUGAAUGUGAGUAAAGAAUUAUAAGCAAACAUCAUGCAGAUACAUAAACUGUAUAGUUGUAAUUUUCAAAGUAAACCAAUGAAUUCUAGAGUUCAGGUGAAGUCGCAAAGAAUUGAAGAUUAUAAUAGAUGCAUAUGGAGAAGGAAGCAAAUGAGUGGAAAAGAUGCUGCAAUAACCGGUGAGGGAGGGAGAAAUCGCUGGGCGAGGAAGAAGACACGUGUGAGGCCAGGCGGGUUGCUUUUUUUUUCUUAUUUUAAUAAAUUUCAAAGCACCAUUAAUUUGGUAAAUACUUUUUAAAAAUACAAUCUUUUGUAAAAAACUCCAAACAUAGGGGACUAAUGUAAUUUAAUGAUGAUACCUUGUAAAUCGCCCAACAUUCCCAGUUUCCCUCUGUUCUUGAAGACUUUGAAUACGUGGAUCCGACUCCGUUUCCUCAGUUUUAAAUACUAUCUAGUUAACUAUGCUUGACAUACUUGUACCAGGUGAAGUAAAAGUCGUACUCUACUAUCAUGUUUUCAAAUUGCAAAAAUCAAACCAUAAUACGUAAAUUGACCCUACAUUACAGCUUUUGGACGAAUCUAACAGAGUACCUUCAGUUUUGUUAUAACUGGUUAUAGUGAAAAUAAAUAUUAAAAAUUUGUUUUGGUAAUACAUAUUCAAAUUUAAUUAUAACAAAACUAAUGUAAUUCUGACUGAAAUUUUAUUUCACCAGGAUUUAUGCAGUUAACGUCUCUUUUUGUAAAACAGACGUUUUUUUUAACAUAAGGUGAAACGUGGAAGCUAUUGAUUAAUAUCUUAAAAACAUCCAAAAGCUACUAAAAAUCGAAGGCAUUGAUACUUUAAGAAACCCGCUGAACAGUAGAAUGGGGUGAUACGGAGGACCUCUAUAAAUGGUCAUUUUGGUUUGUGAAGUAUUUAUAUUUAAAAAUGCAAAAGUCGAAAUUGAAAUGAAUGUAUAAUACGAAGGACUAUUAAUGUAAAUUUUAUUAAAUAGUAACGAUUUGUGAAUAACAACACUCUAAAUUAUCUCAGCGCAUUUGUUCUUAUGUUCUCUAUUAUCUGUUUGUGUCUCUGUUUUUAUUGAGAUUUUAUAUUUAAUGUCACUUUUUAUUUUUUAUAUAAAGACCCAAAGUAAUAUCAUUACUAUUUUCGUAAGUAGAAGAAGUAGAUUUGUAUUUGAUUUCAUUAGUCUGAUUUUUGGCAUUUAUAUCACAUGGCCCAAAAAAGUAUCACGAGAUGGGAAAAGAUAUAGAUAGUAAGACUUGCAAGUCUUUCAACGUCUAAUUUGGGGCAAUGUUUCUUCUUUCAUGGAAAUGGAAAUUUCAUACUGUAUGAUAUGCCCCAUACAAGCAGACCACCAAUUUGAGUCACUCACUUGGAAGCCUUCAUGUUCACACUUCACAGGGAGACUAUAUAAACCCUAGCCUCAUGAAUCUAAAAAUCAUCAGUUAAGUAUUUAAUUUACAUUAUGAAUCCUUGUGUUUUUAUAAUGUUCUCGAUUCUCUUGCUGACUACAACUACCAGCCAAUUAGUACCGGUGGGAGGAGAUGAUAUUGGAGGUGUUGAUAUGAAAAAGUGUUUGGAUAAGGAGAGAGAUGCCCUCCUUCUUUUCAAAGCUCCCCUUCAAGACCCUGAUGGUCGUCUCUCUUCAUGGACAGCUGAGGAACAUGACUGCUGUAAAUGGAGUGGAAUCACCUGCAACAACCAAACAGGUCAUGUCACAGAGCUUGAUAUGGGCUUCUAUGGUCUUGGAGGUGAGAUAAGCCAUUCAUUGCUUAACUUAACCUACUUGAAUCAUCUUCAUCUUUCAGGAAAUUCUUUCAAUGGAACCAUUCCCACCUUCAUUGGUUCUAUGACUGAAUUGAGGUACCUUGACCUUUCCUUUAACUCUCUUUAUGGAACCAUUCCUCCAGAGUUUGGAAACCUCACCAACUUGCAAGACCUUGAUCUUGAUUCUGUUGGAAGGUGUAGAGUUGAAAACAUAGAGUGGUUGUCUCAUCUCUCUCAUUUGGAGUGGCUAAGAAUGGAUGGGAUUUCCCUAGCCAAACAAAAUCACUGGGUAGAUGUAAUUCUGAGUCUCCCAAAACUAACACAUUUAUCUUUAGGUGGAUGUGAGCUGUCACAGGUCGUGUAUCCAUAUUCUUCUUCAUUUCUCAACUCUUCUUCUUCUUCUUCUUCAUCUAUUGAGUUCCUUCAUCUCGGAAACAACAGUCUGACCUCAUCCAUGUAUCGCUGGUUGUUCCCCUUAACCAGCAAUAACCUUAGGACUCUUGAUCUCCUUGGCAACAGGUUAGAUGGGAUACCCAGAUACCUUGGUAACCUCUGUAGUCUGGAAAGUUUGGACUUCUCUUACAACUCGGCUGCUGUCAAAUUUCCUGAUUUUCUCAACAACUUGUCUGGAUGCACAUCCCUUUCAUUACAAAAGUUGGGCCUAUCUGGUAAUCAGUUAAAUGGAAGUAUAAGUGAGAAACUGUGGGAACUACCCAGGCUCCAAACUCUUUACCUUUCUUCUAAUAAUCUUACAGUUCCUUCCACAUAUCACUUGUCAAACAUCUCUUAUGUUGAGUAUCUUUAUCUGAGGUCUUGCAAGCUGCUAGGGCCUCGCUUCCCCAAAUGGAUUCAGACACUCAAAAAUCUUAUUGAUCUUGAUCUUUCCAAUACUGGAAUUUCAGACACAAUUCCUUUGGGGUUUUGGGACAUGUGGCCUUCUCAAUUAAAAUAUCUGGAUCUGUCUUCCAACAACAUUAGCGGGAAACUACCAGAUUUAUUAUCAAAUUUUGCCCAUGGUUCAACGAUAGAUUUGAGUUCCAACAGCUUUUGUGGUCCGAUACCGAAUGUUCCUUCCACUUUGUUUUCAUUAAAUCUUUCCAGAAACAAAUUCUCUGGAGGAAUCUCAUUUAUAUGCCAAAUUGUUGAUGGGUUGUUAGAAUUUCUUGACCUCUCUCAUAACUCAUUCAUCGGACAACUCCCGGACUGUUUGUGGCAUUUCAAUCAACUAAAAGUUCUUAAUCUCGGACACAACAAUCUCUUUGGAAGUCUUCCUCCCUCUAUUGGAUCUUUGAUACAACUCAAAGUGUUGUAUUUGUACAAGAACAACUUCUCUGGAGAAUUGCCUUUCUCUUUAAAAAAUUGCACAAGUUUAAUCUCUUUGAAUUUGGGGGCCAAUAAGUUUUCUGGUAAUGUGCCUGUCUGGAUUGGGGAAAACUUAUCAAAGUUGUAUGUUCUUAUACUAAGAUCAAACAAAUUCUUUGGAACCAUCCCUUUACAGUUAUGUCAGUUACCUAAUCUUCAAGUUUUGGACUUGUCAAUGAACAAUCUCCAUGGAACCAUCCCCUCAUGUUUGAGUAAUCUUACAAACAUGGUUCAACAAGGAGGAUUCUCACAAGAUGUAGAAUAUUU